This 56617-nucleotide long non-coding RNA is filed under the name Gossypium barbadense (sea-island cotton). RNAcentral's name for it is "long non-coding RNA (GBAR_LNC002731)". The record is from RNAcentral. Lineage: Eukaryota; Viridiplantae; Streptophyta; Magnoliopsida; Malvales; Malvaceae.
UUUACUUAGAGGAGCAUUUGCAGUGCUCAAGACCUAAUUAAAUAUAGAAUUUUAUGGCGAAUUGGUAAUGGCUCUCAUGUUAACAUAUGGAAUGACCCUUGGCUUCCUGGAAUAGAGAAAAAUAGAGUAUCAGUCAAUCGCAUUUUACCGAAUUGGACGACAAUUAAUAAGCUGAUUAAUGAAGAUACUAAUACUUGGAACAGAGAUCUGGUUUUUAAUAUUGUUGAUAAUGAGCAGGCAAAUCGUAUUCUGUCCAUUCUGCUUUCUGAAGCUCGGCCGUAGGAUAUACUGGUCUAAAAGUAUGAGGGUUCUGGAGAUUACUCCGUUAGAAGCGGUUAUCGAGUCCUUGUUACAGAGUAUUUACAGGGUAACAAUUACAUCACGCCUAAUACUGAGGCUUUCAAGGAUUUUUACAAGUCCCUAUAGGCUGCUUUACACAUCCCAGGAAAGUUUAAAAUACAUCUAUGGAGAUUGUUUAAUAAUUUUCUGCCUCACUAUAGUAAUCUGUUACAAAGGACUUUAAGGGUUGAUGUUCUUUGCCCUAUUUGCAAGAAAGUACCGGAAGACUCCGAACGUGUUUGGGCGUCUCUUCAACUCCGAACUGCCUCACCUGAUAGCCCUACGAAUUGCAAAACUCUUUUCAUUAAUAAUUUAUAUGCAGCUGAUGAUCAGAAAAAACAUCUUAUUGCUAUUUCCUUAUGGGCUUUAUGGAAUAGAAGAAAUAAGCUUAUUAACGAAGGAAAAAUAUUUUCUUUGCAGGAUCUUUCAGGUUUCAUUCGCGGUUAUAGUCAAAAAUUAAGUUUGUCCCAUGAAAAGUUGGUUGCUUUUUGUAGACCGUCACCGGAUAUUCUUUGGAGUCCUGAUUUUGGUGUUACCAAAGUAAAUUUUGAUGCAACAUUUCAGUGUGACUCUAGGACUUCUACAUUAGCGGUUAUUGCCAGUGACUACAAAGGAGAUUAUUUAGGUACAAAAACUUAUCUGUUCAACGAGGUAUUCAAUGCGUUCGUGGCUGAAGUGAGGGCGUCUAAAAGGGCGUUGCUGUUUGCGACUAACAUGGGCUUCCGACGUCUGGUGGUGGAAUGAGACUCUUUGACGGUCAUUAAAAAACUCAAAACAAAGGAAGAGGACAGAUCGGUUAUCAGACCAAUAUUCACCAAAUGUGUAACUUGGAAAAGUGUUUUGACGAAAUAUGUUACCUGUUUCUUCCCGUUUAGUUAAUGGAGUGGCCCAUACCCUGGCGAUGGAAGGAAGGAGAAGACAGCGGUCUGGAUUUUGGGUCGAUGAGGUUUCGGUUUCUGUCAAGAUGUUGAUAGCAAGGGAUCAAAGAAUUUGCUAACGAAGUCAUCACAGCUUGUCGUAGAAGGCUUUGAAAAUGGAGAAGGUUCUUGGAAUCUCCAUGGCUGGACUCAAAGCUUUUGGGUUUCCUCUGGUUCACAUUUUGGUCAUCCUUUCAUAGGAUAUGGAAGCUACUUGGCUGAUAUUUUGUUGGUUUCUGCUUUGUUUAUUUUGGCUUAAGGUGGUUUUACUCUCUUUUCCUUUAUGGUUUUUAUUUCCUAAGUGCGGGUUUAAUUGGUUUUUGCCCGUUGGUCUGCUAUUGAUUAGACAUUUCCUCUAUUCUCUUUUAGUUAUUACUUCUCUGCCAUCUUGAGCUGUGUGUUUAAUAAAUAUCAGUCUUUUCUUUACAAAAAAAUUAUUUUUUUAUCAAAAUUUUUGAAUCCAAUCAAAUUUUGUUCACCCUAAUUGUUUAUUUAUUUUCCUUAAUUUUGUUCCUUUUAAGUGUGCGUAACUUAUGUGCCUAACUUUCGUAAGUUAACCAAAAAAAUAUAAUCAUAUUAUUUUUUCCUUUAUUUUUUUUAGUUUCAAUGUAAUUUUCCUUAGUUUUUGGCUUAAAUUUUUGUGUAAUUAUAAUUAUCAAAUUUUCAAUUAUAUUUACAUGUCAAUUUUUCAUUGGUGACACAUGGUAUGCUCUAAAGUUUUUAUUCAUGUGUUAAAACCUUAUUUAUAUAUAUAUAUAUAUGAUUAACUAAGGAUGAUAAAGGAGUAGGGCGGGGCGAAUUAAAUCAUCAUCACUUCAUAGUUGGCAUUCUCUGUUUUAUUAUCCGUAUUGUUUCAUUAUGAAUGUAUAAUUUUAAAAAUUAUUAUUAUCUCUGCAUAUUGGGUCACUCUACUUCAAUUUAAAUUUUGUUACUUAUCUUUAAUAUUUUCAAUCAAUUAAAUAUUUAAACAUAAUUCUUCAAAAAAAUUAAAUAUAAAAUAUAUAAAUUUUUAUAUUACGUUAUUACAUUUUUACAAUUUUUAAAAUAUAUAUAUAUAUGAUAACUUCAUAUAAUAGAGCGAGUUAGAAUGGGUAAACAAUUACCAUAAGUGCUCUAAAUCUUCUAUUCAAAAGUAAAAAUCCACUCCACCUUAUCUUGCAUUGACUUUUGAAAAGAAAAAAAAAUUUACGGAUUAAUUUGAAAUUAAUAAGACAGGUUGAAAGUACUAAGUGGGUAUCCAAGAAGAAGAAGAAGAAGAUUUCGAAUUAUGAAAGUGCUUUGACUAUUCCAAUACCUCCAUAUAGUCAAGAGAUUCCACAAAUUCUAGAUAAUUUGGAUCAUUUUUUCAGUUACUAUUUCAUCUAUAAAUUUGUACAACUUUUUUUUCAUAAAAAAAUUAAAAUUAAAAAUUAUGAAUUAUAAUGAUGAAAAUCAUAAUUUUUUUCUUAUAUUUAUGCUUAGAGUUCUACUCAAAUAAUAAUUUUGUCGUAAAACUAGAACAACUCUUUUUAACUAAUAAUUGUAGCGUACAUCCUAAUUUUUUUAAAAUUUCUAAUUAGUGUAACUUCUUUAAAUUAUAAUUUUUUAAAUGUAUAAUUUUCAUAAAUUUUAUUUUAUUUAAACUAAUAAUUCUAAAUUAAAUCUUAUAAUUAAUUUCUUUCUAUAUUUGUCUAAUUUAAAAAUGAAAAUCCAAUGAUAAUACACAACAUUUUAUUAUUAUCAAUUGAAACUAAUUAUUUUAAAGAACAAUCAAGUGACAAAUAGAAGGUCCAAGAAUUAAAAAGAGAGAUAAAUUUCAAAUUUUCAAGAGUACAGGGACUGGAGGCAUAGUUAGACAAAAAAAAGAAAACUAAAGGAAGAAUAUAAGGUUGUUCACGCAGAAGAGACGAAAACUCUAUCCCUGUACCAAAGGUGAAUUACGAAUGGAUCGCUUGGAAACCUCAAAUGAUUUGUCUUCCGGGGCUCUUCGUCUCGCCGCAAAGAUUAAGGUUCUUUUUUCCUCCAAUUUUCUAUGUUUCAAAAAAGAAAUAAACUUUGCUCUUUAGCUUAGUUUUCUGGGAUUCUACUGCUUAGGAUUUUGUUUGUAGCUGUUUUAUUGGAAUUUUUAUCCCUUGGAAUUGAACAUAGAAGGUGGGUUCUUUCAUUUCUUUUUCUUCAAUUUGUUUCAUCAGUGUUACUAUUAGAUCGAUUGUAGAUACAUGUACUUAAUUUAGCUGUUCCCCCCCCCCCUGCUUUUAGAUUAAUGCAGUUUUUUUGUUUAAUUAAUUGAUGACUUAAGUGAGGAGCCCUUUUUGAAUCGUUUUAAUUGGGAAUUUGGGGAUUUUAGUGGUGUUGUUGUUCUUGCUGGAUGGGAAGUGAUCAAAACAUUGACCUUUUUAUUUGACUUUAUCUGGUCACUGCGAAAAAUUAAGGAUACGUGAGGAGAAGUAACUUCUGAAUUUUUUCUUUAUCAUUGUCCUGAUCUUGGUGACCUUAUAGGAAGAAAGAUAUUAUAAUCUAUUGAAUAAUAAGGAAAAACUUACAAAAAAUUAACCUCCCAAUUUCUUGAUGAGUAUUUGUUCUGAAACUGAUUGAUUCGAUAGAAUUAAGAAAGGGAUACCAUUUUUUGACGGUCUCUCGUAACUCUUAAGUUACCCUCGUGCUCUAUGCUCUUUCCUGUUGAACAUAUACUGGAUGUUUUUUUUAGAGAGGGUCUUUGAUAUUUCUUACACUUCCCAUAUUUUCUUAUCAGGAGGUUGUGAGGUUUUGAUUGGUGAGAUAUAAUUAUUAAGCUGAGAACUUCUUGCCGUCAUUGAGAACAAACUAAUUUAACUGGGAACAGUUCUAUUCCAUUUCUCAGCUUUAUGGUAAAGUGCGGUGUCUCUUUGUUUCGCCUUUCUUUUCUUAUCAUGCUUUCCAAUUGUACACAAGGCAUUCCAAUUCCUUUGCUCCUAAUACAAUUGGCCGAGGGGAUGGUAUCACCCCCCAUUGGUACUUAUUGUUAAAUGCUUCUUCUUCUUUUUUUUUUUUUUUCAAUUUGGUAGAUUAUAUUAUUUUUUGAUGGUCUUCUUUCAUGUAAAUGGUUGUACUGAAAUAAAUUGAAGGUUUUGGCCUUUUAAUUUGACUCUGACACCUUCCAUUUUACUCUGCUUUUUUCUGUUUUUAUCUCAGAUACUAGAUAGAGUCUUGGUGGUUUUGAGCAGAUUCAUCUAGGAUAACCUUUUCUUCUGAUUAAGAUAUUUAGCCAUCAAAGGUUGUUCUGGAAUUGAUUUACUAAUAUAUUGCAACCAAUAAGAUAUUGAUGGGGGCAUUCUUAAGUCUAAACAAUUCCAGGGCUGGAAUGAGUGAGCCCUUAGAUGUUUCACAAAAUGGAACAUGCAAAAGGCAGAAGUUGUCAUCAUGUCUUUCUGAAGAGAAUCCAAGAUUGAUUCCUAGCCUUCCUGAUGAGAUAUCUUAUCAGAUUCUUGCCAGAAUUCCGAGGAUUAAUUACUUGAAUGUGAGGUUAGUAUCUCGAGCCUGGAAAGCUGCCAUCAUGAGUACUGAACUUUUUAAUACAAGGAAAGAACUAGGAACAACAGAAGAAUGGCUCUAUAUAUUGACUAAGGUUGAAGGUGACAAGCUUUUGUGGUAUGCUUUGGAUCCAUUGUCAAGAAGGUGGCAGAGGUUGCCUCAAAUGCCCAAUGUUGCUUUUGAAGCUGAAUCCAGGAAACGUUUAGCUAGCCUUCGGAUGUGGAAUGUGGUUGACUCUGGCAUAAAAAUUGCAGAUGCCAUUAGGGGUUGGCUUGGGAGGAAGGAUGCAUUGGACAGAAUGCCCUUUUGUGGGUGUGCUAUUGGUGCUGUUGAUGGCUGCCUCUACGUGUUAGGAGGAUUCUCUAGAGCAUCAGCCCUGAGCUGUGUUUGGCAGUAUAAUCCAGUUCUAAAUUCGUGGAAUGAAACAAGUUCAAUGUCAACUGGUAGAGCCUACUGUAAGACUGGCAUCUUAAAUAAUAAGCUAUAUGUUGUUGGAGGGGUUACCAGGGGCCAUGGUGGAUUAACUCCACUUAAGUCUGCUGAAGUGUUUGAUCCUCAUACUGGUAUAUGGUCCCAACUUCCAAGCAUGCCCUUUUCAAAAGCUCAGAUUCUACCCACGGCCUUUCUGGCUGAUCUACUCAAACCGAUUGCCACAGGAAUGACAUCAUAUAGGGGAAGGCUAUUUGUGCCUCAAAGUUUAUAUUGCUGGCCAUUUUUUGUUGAUGUUGGAGGGGAGGUAUAUGAUCCCGAUGUAAAUUCUUGGGUUGAAAUGCCAGCUGGCAUGGGUGAUGGUUGGCCUGCAAGACAGGCAGGAACAAAAUUGAGUGUCACCGUGGAUGGUGAGCUGUAUGCACUCGAUCCAUCUAAUUCUCCUGAAAGUGUGAGGAUUAAGGUAUAUGAUUACCAAGAUGAUGCAUGGAAAGUUGUAGUCGGAGAGGUCCCCAUUCCUGACUUUACUGAUUCAGAUUUUCCCUAUUUACUUUCUGGUUUACUGGGAAAGCUUCAUGUGAUCACUAAAGAUGCCAACAACAAUAUUUCAGUCUUGCAGGCUGAUGUGCAAAACCAUUUUACUUCCCUAUCAUUAGCUUCAUUGAAUAGCUCACCUGGUGCACAUCCCGAGUCUGCAGAACCUGCAACAGCAUUUGAAAUGGAUCUUUGGAGGGUUAUUGCUACAAGGACAACCGGAUCUUCCGAACUAGUAAGUUGUCAGACACUCAAUAUCUAGUGCCACUGUUGGACUACUUAGGGAUCUAAGUUUCAACUUUCCGAAAAUUAUUUGGUUGCCCUUAUUUGUUUCACUAGAUCUGUUGAUUUUACAAGCGGCACAUUGAAAUUGUGAUUUAUGUAAGUUAUAACCUUUACUCUUGUAUCCUUGUAUAAUAUAAAGCAAAGGAAUUCUCUUGAACUGGAAAACAAGUGCCUGUUGUUUAUCUUACGUUGAUUUCACGGCUCCUUUAAGUGACGGUACAAUAUUCAGUAUUCUUAUGACUUGGCAAUUGAUCUUUCUAGUGGCCCACGUAUUUAGCCACUUUUGUAGUUCGAAAUUAUGCAUACGCCUGUAUUAAGCCCAGUUUAUGCAACACAUUGAAAAGAACCACCAGAUAAUGGAUAUUGUAGUUCCUGUAGAAUAGCUUAAGUUACAAAUAGGAUGCCUGCAAAUAACAUAAAGGAUUAUAAGAAAGAUUUAUAGCCAACCAAUAUUUAACACUUGAAUAUCAUCAGUCCAAGGGAUCCAACUUACAUGGCACUGGUUAUUUUAUUAUUUUACACAAUGAUUAUACCAUGAGAUGGCAUGGCCGGUGAAACACACCAUUUUUUUUUUAAUUUUAUUUUAGACAGUUACAAAGGGGUUUUCCCUUGGAGAAUAGUUUUUCCAGUCUCCAUGAUGCUUCUAUGAUGUGCUUUCUUUUCCCAAAAGCACUGAUUCUGAUAUACUCUGCACCACCAGGGCCAAAACCAGAUCCUGGUACCGUUAUUAUAUGAGUCUUUUCAAGAAUUUCUGCAAAUAUAUUCCAUGAUUUUGAACCAGGAAAAUGCACCCAAACAUACGGGGCGCUGACACCGCCAUAAACUUCUAAGCCAAGAGAGGCAAACGUAUCUACCAAUAUCUUUGCAUUCUCCUUGUAGUAGUCGAUCACUGCACAGAUAGCCUGAGAAUCAUAAAAAAUACAAAUUCAGCAGUCCUCUAGAAUACUCAAUCAUAGACCAGUUAAAAGAGUAUAGAUUGUAUUUUGUUAGACUUGCAUGCCAAAAUAAUGUUCUUUCACCAACUAUUGUUUCUUCCUCAAAGGUUUGGCUCAAAUCAGAAUCGACUGCAGCCAUUUCAACAGAUCUAAUUUGGCCAUUACGAUUCAUUACUAUCAUCAAACAUACCUAUGCCCGCAAGCAGAAUACAGCACGCCCUCAUACUCCUUUUACACAUUUGACUGAAAAGCUGAACAUUUAUGUGCAAGGCUUUCUUGGACUUACCUGGAAACCUUCUGGAGAAAGGCAUGCUAGUCCACCAGCUUGAGCUAUAUUGGAUGCUCCAUUGAAACAGGUGCAUACAAUGCGGUUGAAAUCAUGUAUGACAGGAAACCCACCUGAAAACAAGAGUUCUUCAGGCACUACUGUCCAACCAAGACGAACUCCGGUGAACCCAGCAAAUUUGGAGAAUGAUGAAAUUUCAAUUGCAACCUGAGGAAAUUUUCUUUUCUUUUUCAGUCUCAAGACAAAAGGGUAGGUUCAAAACUAAAAUUGAUAUACUAUGUUUCAAGGACCUGAGAAAUUGAUUUAAAAUUCACUUUUCCAUCCAGGUAUUUCAUUAAUCUAUAAACAUAAAAUUUAUGUUCUCAUGAACCCUCUAGAAACAAUUAUACUUUUGAAAAUCCAAUUCCUUGUUAAAAUGGUGAGAAUCAGUUUUUACAAGCUGCCAUAAGCAGUUUUAUCAAGUCUAUUUAACAAUCCCAAAAUGAAGAGAUCCUUCUUCAAAUGCUUUCUAUAUUCGUAAAUAACUAAUCAUUAGUCAAAGCCUUGCAAGUAACUGUACUCGAACAAAUGUUGACUGGUGUCUAGGAUUUAGUUCCACUUCAUUAGAGCUUAAUCUAUUGAAAGGCAAAAGGGUCAAAUGUCGUUGGUUAGCUCUCAAUUAUAGAACCAUUACACCCUGACAUUCAGAAGACUGAAGCAGGACUUUUUUUCUUAGCUAGAUGACAUGUCAGCAACGUACCUCUUUGGCACCAGGAAUUUCAAAGAUUGAUUUAGGACUGUCAUCAGAGAUAUAGGCUGCAUAAGCGGAGUCAAAAAUAAUAAUUGAUCCAUUAUCCCUUGCAAACUCUACAAGGUGCUGCAAUUGCUUCCUUGUAGCUGCAUGACCUGUAGGAUUAUUUGGUGAACAAAAGAAGAUGAUAUCCGUUCUUGGAGUGACCGUUAGAUCAGGGAAGAAAUUAUUCUGAGGGCCAAGCUGCAUGUACUCAAUGUUUUGAUACUUCCCAGUUUUGUCUUGAAAAUUACCAGCCUGGCCGAUUAUGACACUUGAAUCUAUAUAACCCUGUUACAAAGUACAUUUUCCAUAUUAACCCUGUUACAGCUCUAAUUCAAGGAUCCAUCGUAAAUUGUUGCAAAAGGCAAAUAUGAUCAGAUAUCCUUUUUAUUUUUUGCCCUUUUGAUCAUAUUAAAAGAUUAGUUCAAUUUUGGGAAACUAAAUUAAGAAAAUGGUACAGACAGAACAAAAAGUAUGAUGACGAUAGGCAGAUCUAAAUUGUGAAAAGUAGACUACUUCGGUUCCUGUAACGCCUAAUCUUUAGGCAGAAUUCUAAUUUCUUUCUAUGAAAAAAUUAGUUUCACGUUUUGUGAUAUUUUUGUAUUUUCAAAUGCAAGUGCCCCACAUUAGUAUAGAACAUCUUCAAAGUUACAAGCAAGACAUUGAUUAAUUAUGGCAGUUUAUUACUAAAAUUAUAUCCAUAUUCAGCUUGCUCGAGGAUAUUUUCCGCUAUUAGAAAAGCAACAUGCAGUGGAACAUAAGGUUAAACAAAUAGAAGCAUGAUAACAUCACCGGAAAAGAUGGAUCCUGCACGGCUAUUGUCACUUUUGAACCUAAAAGCAGCUGCAAAUAUCGACAGAGAAAAGUAUUCAGUACUUUUAACACAAGAAAUCUGCAGGUUGGCUCAGUUGUAACAUUACUUGCAUAAGAUGCAGGCCGCUGGCUGAAGGAACAAAGACAGGGGCAUAUAAAAAAAAAAACAAUCUUAUAUGAAGAGUCACCUGAAGGCGGGAAAUAUCACACUGAGAACCAUCUGAUACAAAAACUUCUGUAUCCUUUAUGGCGACAUCCUUGUAAAAUGUUUCGGCAAUUGCUUUCCUCAAUGCCUGUUAUUCAUACAACGUUAAUAUUUGAAACGUUUACCUGAUAAAUAAUUGUUUAAACAAUCACUCCUACUAAAGUACAAUAAGCGCAAAGUUACAANNNNNNNNNNNNNNNNNNNNNNNNNNNNNNNNNNNNNNNNNNNNNNNNNNNNNNNNNNNNNNNNNNNNNNNNNNNNNNNNNNNNNNNNNNNNNNNNNNNNNNNNNNNNNNNNNNNNNNNNNNNNNNNNNNNNNNNNNNNNNNNNNNNNNNNNNNNNNNNNNNNNNNNNNNNNNNNNNNNNNNNNNNNNNNNNNNNNNNNNNNNNNNNNNNNNNNNNNNNNNNNNNNNNNNNNNNNNNNNNNNNNNNNNNNNNNNNNNNNNNNNNNNNNNNNNNNNNNNNNNNNNNNNNNNNNNNNNNNNNNNNNNNNNNNNNNNNNNNNNNNNNNNNNNNNNNNNNNNNNNNNNNNNNNNNNNNNNNNNNNNNNNNNNNNNNNNNNNNNNNNNNNNNNNNNNNNNNNNNNNNNNNNNNNNNNNNNNNNNNNNNNNNNNNNNNNNNNNNNNNNNNNNNNNNNNNNNNNNNNNNNNNNNNNNNNNNNNNNNNNNNNNNNNNNNNNNNNNNNNCAGUUUUCAAGCCAGAACAACAGGUUCCUUCCGGCUUCGACGUCUUGCUCCCGCUCGACACAAAGGACAAACAAUCCGCCAUGUUGAGAAUCAGAGAGGAGCAGUCCACGGGGGAAGAAGGAGAGGGCGCCAGAGCAUGGUGUUGGGCAGCAUCAACGGCCAAGAUUGAAAGAAUAGCAAGAGAAAAAGCAAAACAGAAUUUUGAGGCCACCAUUGUUAGAUGGGUUAUGGGGCGAAGCGUCUUAGGGAGAAGAAAAAUGGGAGAUUUGUGGAAGAAAUGAAAAGAAAAGGCGGGGGGAAGUGGAUGGUGGAAGUGGGGGGAAUUUAUUAGAGGAGAGGCAUGUGGGCACACUCGUCGGUACAAUGAAAAGGAGAAGGGUGUAGGUGUCAAGGUUCUCUUCAUCCAAGUUUCUUACCAUAUCGAAACCAAAAAAAAAAAAAAAAACUCUUUGAAUUUUGAAUUUUGAUUGCAAAUAAAAAUUGAAAACUGAAAAUUGAAAAUUUGAAUUUGAAUUUUAUUUUAUGAAUAAAAGAUUUAAAUUUAUCUAAUAAUUUGAUAAAUUUAAUAAAAAAACCCAUUCAUAUUUUAAUUUUUGUAUUUUUUUUAUUUUAAAAAUAAAUAUUAAAAUUAUACGUGAAUUGUAGUUUAAUAUGUAAUUAUAUAAAUAGAUUUUAAUUUUGUGUAAUUUUACAUGAAAUUUUUAUUUGAUUCAAUCAUUAUAAAUUAUUAACACAAUUAUUCAUAUAACAUUAUUUUAUAUUUAUAUAUUGAUACAUAAAAAAAUUAUAUUUAUCCAAUAUAAAAAUAAAUUUAUGUAUUUAUUUCUUUAAUAUGCAUGAUUAAAUCAAAAUUAAAAUUUCAAGUAUACAUUUGAACCACAAUUAGAGAUUCACGUGUAUAAUUGUACAAAAUUAAAGUUUAUGUAUAUAAUUACACAUUAAAUCAAAAUAUCAUGUAUAAUUUUGAGAUUUAUCCCUUUGAAGGAUUGAAGGAUCCUUUACUUGUUUUUCUUUUAUAAAAAAUAAUAAACAUUACAUUUAUUUGUUAGUUUACAUAAUUUAUCUAUUUAAUGUAAUAAAAGUUUAUAUAUCAUGAAUUGUCAAAAUAGUUAUUUACGUUAGUGUAAAAUUAAUAUAAUUUUUAAUAUUUUUAACUUUCUAUUAUUGAUAUUUUAACAAUUCAAUGUUAAAUUUAUCAAUAUAAUUUUACUUAUUAUACAAUUAAGGUUUUGAAUCGAUAUCUAUAUUAUAUCAAUUUAAAAUAUUGUCCAUAUUAAUAUAUAUUUAAUGAUUGAAAGUUUUUUAUAUAAAAUAAUUAAUUAAAAAGAAAUUAUUUACAUACUAUAAAUUUAGAUUUUAAAAUUAAAUUGAUUUUAUUGAAAUUAUUAUAAUUUUUAAAAAGAUUUUUAACUGAAAUAUAUAUUAGAUUGAAUAAAAUUUUAUGGCUGUAAUUCUAUAAUUUCCAUGAGAGUGAGGAGUGGGAAAAAAAGGCUAUGGUUGGACCACUCCUUUGCAUAGCCAAAAAUCAUUUUUCUUUUUCAACAAUUUUCGUUUACAUUUACUUUUUGGUACUACAAUUUUAGACAACUUUGGCCAAAGUGGUUUCUUACUUUCCUUCACCUAAACAAGAUUCGUACAAUUUUGGAGUAAAAGAAAGAAAAAGAAACAACAUUAAUUUGCCUUUUUUUAUUUUUCAAAUAUUUUUUAAUAAAGUAAACAACUUUUUUUCCUUAAAUAUUAAGAACUGAAAUUCUGGAAUUUAUUUAUAUGCAAAUUUCACCAUAAAUAUCGUGAUAUUUUAUAAUAAAAAAUUCUUUUUUCACCCAUGAUUUUCGUUUUAUUUUCCUUUUUUACUUAUUUAAACUAUUCCAUCAUUCAUCUUUUACUGCUCAAUUAAAAAUGCUAAAGAUUAAAAAAAAAUUUGAUUUGUCACCCUCCUAUUAAAAAAAAAUAAGAAUGAUAUAGAAUCACAGUUUUAUAUAAUUCCUUAUCCUUCUCUUUUAAUAGAGUUGUUUGUAUAAAUAUAUCUAUAAUUCAUAAAAAUUAACAUAAAUAAACAGAAUGAAUUUUCCAUCAAUUAAUUUAAACAACUCCACCUGUCAUGCUAUUUGUAAGAUUUUUUUUUUCUAUUUAAUGGAAGAGAAAUAUUUUUAAAAUAUAAUUUUUUUCAAAAAAAAUAAAAUAAAAUUGACAUUGAAAAGGAAUGAGGCAACAAGGGAAUAACUUUACCAACGUUUAAUUAUCCUUUGAAUAGAUACGUUGCUUAAUAUGUUAAUAUAAGCAGAGAUAGCAUGGUUGCCCCAAAUUCCAAAAGUUUGAUGUACGCCUGCCCAAUCAGCUGUGCCUUGUUAUAAUUCACAAUAACUAGCCAUGUUCAUUCAUAUAUAUUAGUUAUAUAAUAAAUUACAUUUUUUAUUUUAUUAUUGUUUACUUAAAUUUAGUCAUUAUCCUUUUAAAAAUAUUCAAAUCACAUCCUUUUUAUGUAAAUGUUAAUUAAAAUAGUAAUUUUUUAACAAUGUUGGUGUGGCAACUCCCGUGUAGACCUGAUGUAAAAAUUUAGGCAUGUUUUCUAGGCUCGACCUAACCCGAAAAAUAGAUCUAAAGUUUUUUUCAAGUUCAAUUCUGCCUGCCCGUAUUAAAAUUUUUUUUAUACAGAAACAAAUUUUAAAAAUAUAAUACAUCAAAUACACUAAAAAUAUUAAAAUAAAUAUUUCCCAACAAAUUGAAAAUACAUUAAAAAAUAACACUAAGAUAGUUGCAACUUAACAAACAAAUGCCUCUAAAAUAGUAGCAAAAUUAACAAUAAAAUAAAAGUUAUACAAUAUCCAAAAAAAUAACAACAAAAUAGUAGUAAUAGAAUAACAAAAUGAUAGUAAAACAACAGUAAACAACAUCAAGAAAGGAGGGAAAUUUUUUUUAGUCAAAUUCGGGUCAAGCUCAAGUCAAAAAAUUAUUACCCAAGGAAGCGAGACUUAUUUUUUGUCCUAACCCAUUUUUUGGGCUGUAUUUUUAUCAAAAUCCUCUUACUUUUCGAGUAAGCCUUCGAGCUAGGACAGAUAGUCUAGCCCAUGAUUAAUUCUAUUCGCGUGACACUCCACAUCUAUUAAUAUUAUAUGUCAUGUCAAUAAAUAAUUUAAAUUUUAUAAAAAUAUUUAAAAAUAAAAAAUUCAAAAUCUAAAAAAUAAUAAAAUAAAAAUAAAGUAAAUAUGAAUUGUAAUGCAAAUUAUAAUAUUUAAAAAUUUAAUAUUUUUAUUAAAAAUAAUUUUACUUUUUAAAGAAAAUUAAUGAUUAAAUUCAAUAAUUUUAAAAAGUUGAAGAUAAACUUUAACUGAAAAAGGAAAUAAAUUAUAUUAAUAUAAUCGUAAAAAAUAUUGUUUUUAGGCACUAAGAAAAUAGUGCCACAUCAUUAAAUUUUAAAGAUAACAAAUUAUUAUUAUACACUCAUUUAUAUCUAAUAUCUUUUUCAACUUCAUUUAACUUUAAUUAAAUUACUUAAAAUAAUUAAUUUUUUAAAUUAUAAACAAACAUCUUUUCUUCUUUUACAAAUUUUAAUCAUUUUAUUUUUUUUCAAUAAGUUAAUCUCUUUUUUUGCAACUAAUUUUAAAAAAGCUAGUAAUUUUUGUGUAAUUUUUCCAUGUCAUUGACACAUAAUUUUAGUAAUUAUUUUAUCAUAAACCCCAAACUUAGAACAUUAGAUCUUGAACUCAAACCCUAAAUUUUAAACCUUGAACCUUGAUAUUUAGAGUAAGGGUUCAGGAUUUAAGGUUCAAGGUUCGGGUUUGGGUUUAAGGUUAUGAAUUUGGGGUUUGAGAUUUGGGUUUAAUGGUUUAGGGUUACAAGUUAUGAGUUUAGAUUUAGGUUUAAGAUUCAAGGGUUCGAGCUUACGUGUUUGGUGUUCAAGUUUAGGAUUUUAGGUUUAAGGUUUUGGGUUCAUGGUUUAAAAUUCUAGAUUUAGGGUUCAUGAUUUUGGGUUUGGGGUUGAGAGUAAAAAAAUUACCAAAACUAUGUGUUAAUCACAUGAAAAAUAUUGUUGAAAUGUUAUUAAAUAAUUCGAAAUGGACCAUGAAUAAUAUAAUAGGAAGAGUUUAUAAAAUAAUUUUUUUAAGGAUGAGUGUUUAAUAAUAAUUUUAUAUCUUUAAGAUUUGAUGAUAUAACAAAAUUUUAUUAAUAUUUAAAAAUAUUAAUUUUUAGCAUCAUCCUAAUAUAAAUUAUUUUAAAAAAAUAAACAUAAGAAGGUAAACAUUUAAAGCUAAAUAUUCAUUUAAAGUAUGGUUGGAACUUGGAAGUAGAGGAUUGUGUUAAGUGUUUGUAGGAUGCAUGCCAACCGGUGAUAUGAAAGGAUUCCAGAUGCUUCCAAGUUACAACCCACCUCUAAAUGUAAAAUAAAAAUCCACUUCCCAUAAAAAUACCAAAAUGGUGGGGUUUCUUUUCUUAAAGAAAAAAAAAAUGAAAGUGGUGAAAUUUAUAUCCUGUUAUGAUGGGUUGUAAUCAUAGUAGCCUUCAAUUUUGAAAUUUUGUAAAUGCUUUUUUUUUAAAAAAAUUACCAUAAAAGAUUUUUUUUACUAAAAGUUAAAUUAUAUUUUUUUUAUUUUAUUUAAAAAAUAAGUAAAUUAUAUUUUAAAUUAAGUAAUAAAUUAUUUUUUAUAAAAAAAUUUAUACACAUUUACUAUUAAAAUUUAAUUUAUAUAUAUUAGAAUGAGGUACAUAUAACACAUACGUUAGGCGUUAAUGUCUAAUUAUUCUGUCAAUCACGUUAAUUUUUUAAUUUAAUAUACAAAAAUUAAUUCUUUUAUUUUUUAAUAAAAAGAAUAAAAUUCAAUUUGUUAUAAUUUUGGUUGGAAGAUAGUGUUAAUAAGCCUCAAUUCAUCCACGAAUUUAGCUUUGUUGGGUAGUGGUGAGUAAUGGGUAAGACUUUUAGUUCAGGUAUAGGGCGUUAGUUCAUAAUGCAUUAAUUUAUAUUUCCAAAAUUGCUUAUUCCACACUUCUAUUAAUAAUUAUUCCAAAAUUCAAUAAUUUAAUUAAAGAAAUCAAUGGAUCGAUUCUAGAUUGAACUAGAAGACUUGAGUUAAUGGCUCAAUGCCAAUAUUUUAUUCCUGUACCAAUAUUAAACGUUUCAUUUUCUAACUAGUUUCUUUAUGCACAUUUCUUUAGUUUCUUUGACUUCAACUUCCUAGUUUGACUGAUUAUGGACCAUCGUUUACACGUGAUUACUAUAUUUAAAUAUAUAAAAUUUAUUUCCCUCAAAAAAAAAAAAACAAAAAAAACUCACUAGAUUAUAUCCCACUCACUGUGUGAGUGAAAAAAAUAUGUAAUAUAUUCAUAAAAAUUUGAUAUAAAAUUUUUAUAUGAUUUUAAUUAAAAUGGUAAAAUAAAAUUGAUGAUGGUUGGGUUUUAAUCUUCGAGUCUCAUCAAUAGUAUAUAUUUUUAAAGAUUUAACAAGAAAUUAUUUUGUAAAAGUUGAUUUUUUGUUAGUUUAUAAUUAAAUUAAAAUCUGAUUAAAAAGUGAUAUUAACUUAAUAAAAAAUUUCAUUAUAAAUAGAUUAAAAAAAAACCUUGAUAAAACUACAAAAAGGUCUUGAGGAAUCAAUCAAAUAUGUGUGGAAGAAAGAAAAUUAAGGGAAAAAUAUUUUUGAGGAAUCAAUCACUUUUCUUAAGCCUUUAAUUUUACUUCUAAAAUACAAUAAAUCAUAAAAAAAAAACAGAACAGAGUAGUAAAAAUAAUACUUUAAAAUAUGUGUCUCCUGGUACAAAUUAUGUUUCUAAUAUAUAUUGUAUGGCACAAAGUGUGUUGUCAUAACACUUUUUCAAUAUAUUUAUACAUAUAUUAUGGCACAAAUUAUGUUUCUUAUACAAACUUAAUGGCAAAAGGUGUGUUGUGUUAUUCCAAUAUAUUUGUACUUAUUUUAUGACACAAGGUAAAGUGAAACAUUUUAGAAAAGUCAUGUUGGAAUUAUAUAAAACCAAUAGGUAAACUAAUUUACUUAGUGGGUUAAGUAUCUAAGUCAAUUAUUUAGGUUAUACAAAUUUUGUUAUUAAAAUUUCAUAUACCAUGUAUUUCUUAACAAUAGGAAAUUACUAAUCAUGUAAACUAUUAAUAGAUAAUAAUUUUUUUUAAAGAAGUAACAAAUAAUAAGUUCGUAAUGAACUAAUUGAAAUUUUAAUCUUUUUCUAUUUUAUAUAAGUUGAAAUGAGUUAGUUGAAUUUUUAAUUUAUUGGAGGUUAUUUGGGUAAGACAGAGAAGUGGUAAAGAUGUGCGAUUCAUCUUGUUUGAUAUAAAACGAAUAACCAUCAAACAAUAUGGUCAGAGUUGAGAGUAAGAAAGAAGAAAGGAAUAAGAAGGAAUGGGGUGAGCAGCCUUAAGAAGGAAUUCCUUGCUAUCUAGUUUUUACAGUUCUUAUAUACCUUUAGUCCCUUAUCCCUAGACACCACAUGACUAAUUGCCAUUCGCGUGUCAAGUGACCAAGUGGUAUGAUUGUACAUGGCUAAGUAAAAUUGAUUUACCCUGUGUCAUCUCAAAUGGGAUGUUGUGACAAGAAUUUAAUGUGGCGAUUAUAAGGGCUCACGCAAUUGUUGGCCCGAGGAGUCUCCCCUGAGGAGCUUGAGGGGUUUGUUUGAGCGGUUCUUCCAAGGAGAUUGUCCGCACCGUUUAUAGGCUUACUGCUUGGUCCAAACAAUCAGGUAUAACAUAAUCAAAUUCUAUUGUGUCAUGAGGGAAAAUACAGGUUCUUAAUAUACUAUAUUCAAGCCAGCUUUGUCCGAGUAUUAUUUGCUAUUUUCAACUCGUUAUACUACACCAAUUUCAAGCUGAAAUAUAUGAUAUGAUCGAAUGAUCAUUCAAUAAGGUUAUCAAAGGAUUCAGGAUAAACGGUAGGUACGAAGAUAUAAAUAAACUUAAAUCUAAAUUUUAUACAGCCUCCCAUCCAUCCCUUGUAUUAUUUCUCAAAGAUCUCCAUGUUAUUUGCAGGCCAACAAGCUUAUGUCGAUAAUCCAAGUCAAAAUAUCUGCAUUUACAGAUGCAAUUAAUCCCCCAUAUGCCUGCAUUUCAUGUAUCAUUCAAUAAUUGAAGGUGCCAGGGUGUUAGGGAAGUUGUGCUGACCUUCCUAGGUGCAGUGCCAACUCAAGUUCAAUUAUUGUGCUAUCAGCAGAAGGCUAGACGACAUAUACCCAUGGCAGCCCAUGGCCCCCAAGGAAUGGCUGUCUUAGCUCCUUUGACAAGAAAGCAAAUAGAGGGAAUGAAAGUUAGGAAACUUAUUGCUAACAAUUUAUUAAUAAACUACAUCUGGUAAUAUGCAAAUACAUGAAAACCAAUCACUUCGACCACCCGCAUGCUUGGCACACCUACAUGUUAUGUUUACCCACACUUCCCUUUUUCCCCCCUUUUGUCCUGAAGGAACAUAUUCAUGCAUUGACACAUUUGUAUUACACUCCCGAGUUAGUGUAACAAACAUGCAUGGAUGUCUUGUGUAACAAAAUACAUUUGGUCAGAGGCAAUGCAUGUGCACAGAAGGUUAUUUUAUUAUCUAAUUAGUUCUCUAGUUUUUAGUCAAGUUGAGCUAGUGGAUCCUGCAUGGUCCUCCACAUCCACAGAUGAUAUAUGAAGAUAUGAAGAGACCAGGUGACGGCAGUUUAUUAGAAAUUCAUCCAAAAGGGGAUAAUUAAUACCGAAGACAUCUACAUAUGCCAUUUUUUAAUUCAAUUCCGUCAGCAUAAACUGUAUCUCAUCAUGAAAAUAACUUGAAGUAUUCUAUGAAAGAAAACCUUCUGGGUCACUUAAGCAAAAGAAGACAUGGUGUAUAUCUGUCGGCCUGAAACUUUUACUUCAGGCCAUGACCCAAUAAGCUGCAGCAAAUACGCAGCAAAUUUUGUUUUUCAGUCGAGCUCAGGUUCACAAAUUCAAGCAUUAAUCACGAAACAGUUUUAGAUGCCAAACUGCUAUGACGACUACAUCAAUAUCAAAGUAAUCUAAUAUGGAAUAGACAAUCCCAACGGGUUGAUAGAAAUUAAGACAGCUGGUCAACUGAACUCGCUUUAACAGAAAAACUUCUACCACCUUGUCACAAGGACGUUUACUAUAAAGAGGAACUGAUAAACCGGAUUAGCACUGGUCCAAUAUGAAGACAUUUUGCCUAAGAAUCAGGUCAAUGAAUAAUUUUCACUCCUGUUGAUAAUUUAUUUAAUGAAAAGGAAUGACGAUAGCAUUCUAAAUGGACAAAUAAGGGUUCACCUUUGAAAAUCUUAAGCCUGCAACAGUCGGCCAUAUUUUCUAUGAUGAUCUUAUGAUGAAUUUCCACAUGAUAUUAAUCAAUUUUAAACUAGGGCAAAGAUAACAAACUUACUGUGCAUGAUUACUGAAUCGCCUUUUCACCAAUGACACAAUAACAGUAACAUCAUCAAGCUUGCCGCCCCUAUAUCCCACGUAUCCAGCUGCCUGCACUUCAUCUGACAAUGGGCUCCUCACCAAUGAUAACUGACCAACCUCUUGCGCUCUAGUUGCCAAGAGUUCUGCUAUUUCCUGCCCAUUAAAUAAAUGUUGGGGUUACCAUGCACAUAAGACUAUCUUUUCAUGUCACACAUGCACCUUAUGCAUUUUACUACUAUAUUUGGGAAAGGAAAUGGAAAUGGAAAAAAACAGUGAUAAGCACCUGGGGCCUUAAACUCUCUUGCAAUGAUUUGGAGACAAUUGAAACUAUAUCUCGCUCGUAAAGAUUAUCAAAAAGUCCAUCAGUUGCAGUGAUAAUCACAUCUUUUUCAUACAAUUCAACUUUGUAAACCUGAACCAGCAGCCAUGUGUAAAAAGAUUGACCCAUAUUAUUUUACCUUUAUACGAGGAGGAAAUGGGAAAGGGGGAGAAAAGAACUUUUUACCUUCACCUUCUAACAUAAAGGAAACUCAAUAUAUGUUUGAAAAUGAAGAUAUAGGAUCAUAUCAGCUUUCAAAGUGCAGGAGGCAAUUACAAAUAUAUUUUUAGUGCAGGAGGCAAUUACAAAUAUAUUUUUAUCUUUUGUAUGCAAUAAUAAGAUUUUUUAUCUUUUUAGAAAUGGAAUUCAACCAGUAUACCUCUACAAAGUCAGAGGGUUGAUCUCCUCUUGCAAUCUGUACAGGAAAAGCCAACUCAUAAACCAUCGGAGAAGACCUCUUAAACACAGCACCGUUUCUUAUGAUCAUGAAGCCUGAAUCACCAAUAUUUGCCACAUGGAGAGCCUGCAGAUUUAUAAAGGCAUAGCCUUCCAAGUAUGAGUUGUAAAAAGGAACACCAAGUUCAUUCUCAGCCUCUUCUUUUUUGAAUUAUAAUAAAAUCAAGCCAUUAUAUCUAUGAGAAAAGAAAUAUAUUCAUUCCCACAAAGUAGAUUGACUAGCUAAUAAUUAGCAUCAGUCGUCAGUUCAUGCAUAUUUUGACAACAGUAGUUUUACUAAUCAUAAUACACAGAAGAUAAAUUUCAGUCUAAGCAUGAACAUUAUGAACUUUUGGAAAUAUGUUUCUUUAGAUCCAAUAGCAAUAUGAACUACUCUAUUUCAAUCAGACUAGUGGAAUAUGAAGAAUCUUUUUUGUAUAUGAUUAGUAAUAUUCCUACGUCAAGAAAGCAAUCUUUUGGAAAAAUCAUCAUUCAUGCAAAUAAGACUCUCAAUAAGAAUUUGAAAAUGUUUUGUUAACUCAUUAACCUUGUACUUUGCGCAGACAAAAAGUUCAUAGAAAAAAAAUUCAGAAAAGUUGAGCAAUUAAGUUUUCAUCAAAUGACAAGUCUAUUUGUAUAUCAAGUAACCAUUCCUCUAGUGAAGUUAAUUAGGUUUGCUUAAAUUUCUCGACUCAAGGCUUGUUAGUAAAAUCCUAGACUUGUUUGCAAACUGUGAGUCUUUGUUUGGUUAGGAUUAGGUUGUAAGUUAGUUCUAUGAUAUAACGACUAAUUGAAAUUUGCAUAGGAGAAAAGAGUGUCAAGUUGAAGGACAACAUACCUGAUCAUCAAAGUAAGCAACCAAAACCGUAGACGAACCACAAGAUUGAGUAUUUGCUGCAGCUCUAUUAAGGAUCUCAACUGGGUCAGUUAUUGGAACUCCAUUUCUAUCAGACACAAUUCUUUCACAGUUUUCCAUAAGUUCUUUUGCAUAUACUCCAACACUAAUCCCUGAAGGAUAAGAUAGGAAACAAAUAAUUCAGUCCAGACAGUGCAAAACAUACGAUGACAUUUAUUAUGCGUUCCAGUAUGCUGCCAGGGAUUCAACAUAUAUUUAAUGUAAAUUUAAUAUAUUUCCUAGCAACUCUUUCCUGGUUUGCAGUGCAAGGAUAAAAAUGAAACAUAAACUCAUUCCAUACAAAGAAUUGGUCCUGGUGAAAACAAAAAUAAGGAUAAUAAAAAAGAAUAAUACCUUCAAAUGACCACUGACCAACUCCAUCAGCAACACCUAGCCAAUUCUGGCAGGCAAUAAAAUAAGCAUCCUCUCCACCUGCGAAGGCCUGGAAUUAUUACUAUUUGAAUUACUCAAACAGAAUUCUCAAACUCAAGUCAAAUAUACAUCAAAGUGCCCAAGCAACUGAUAUCUUUCAAAAUUAAAAAUUUCUAAGGUAUUAAUUGUUACUUUUACAUCCAAAGUUCAUUAAGCUACUCUCAAUAACGAGAUGCAUUUUUUUGGCAUUAUAUUGAUCUGAAAAUGUUAAAAAGUCAAGCUAGACAAAACCUGACGGUAAAUUUAACAAAGAGUUUUGGUUUAUUUUUAUCCACUUCGACCAUAAUUCCAAAGUUUUCAUGAUUCUGGCAAAUUAAAACAAUUAGUUGAAGAGGUAAAACUGAUUAUGACUAUCCUAAGUACCUUAGUCGGAUUUGGCAACAGAGCAGCACCAGAAUAUAAGAAAAAUCCUGCUGUUGAGAUUUCCUCCCUGUUUGAACACAUUUAGAAAAAAAGUUGAGGAUGUAAGAGAACUUGACAAAAUGUUGAAGGGAGAAAGAUCAACCAAUUAUUUAAAAGAGUAAAUCAUAGAGAACAGCAACAAUAUGGCCAAAAGACAAGCAUAAGUAGAAAAAUUUCAACCUGAACUCAAUGCAAUGAUCUAUAAGAAAUAACUGAUGCAUUGAUCUAUAAGAUAGACAGGAACCUCUUUGUGUAUUCGUUUGACAAUAGAGUAGUUUACCUUUCCAAAGUUCCACCAGACUGUAACUCUACACCUUUAAGCAUUGUCAGCUGUCUGACUUUGUUAUCACUUUGUGCAUCAGCCUCAGUUAUCUCUGCUUGGGAAAUUGAGAAAGCCACACCCUCAUCCAACUACAAACAACAAAUAUACAUAUUACUCCAGGCAAUUUGAUUUGAGAGCACAAAUAAAUUCAGAUCCUCAAUGAGUGAGUUCUUUGCUUGCGAUGAUAAUGCAAUAGGCUUCAAAAUAAAGUAUUAUAUAGACAAAAACCGGUGACAUGCACAAGCAGGCAGCAUUUGACAAUUAGGACGGAGAAACCAUAUGAAGCCCAAUCAAUAUUUUUUAAAGGUAGUUCUGGGUUUCUGGAACUUAAUAAAGCAUAAAACUCUGAAGAAAAUAAAAAUAUGUUACCAACAACUAGUCAUACUCAUGAGAAUUCCACAAUUUUAAAGACGUUUUUAAGACAAUUAAACCCAAAACAUGCCCAAGUCUUGUAUUAUAACUCUAUAUUAGAUAGUUAAAUCCUAAAUUUAUUUUUAUUGCUUUGCUGAUAAUAACAGAACUUCUCUAGCAACUAGACAGCCAGAAUGUUUAGAUAAAGCACAUAUUUUAUAUUUGAAUCUUGGGUUAGUCACACAAAAACAGGAUCCUCACUGUGAUAUUCUUUAGGCCUUAGUCUUAACAGCUUUGAUGGCAUAAAAAAGCAAUAAGGAUUAUUGAUGAUUACUUUCUAUGUAAAAUUAUUUGACCUAGAAGAAGAGGGAAAACCAUUCAAUAUCCCAUCAUCAAUUUUGUUACUAUUUGUAGUAUUACAUUUAUAUAAUUUGACUGGGAUAUCCAAAUUGAAUAUAAACACCCAAAAGGGACAAGUUGUAGCUGCUAAUAUAAACAAAAAUAGAGAACUAACCAUUUUUGAGCUCUUGACUAUGUCAUUAUCAACAGAUUUAUUCGUUGUUGUAUGGACUGUAGCCUCAUUGAGAACUGACUCAACCUCAGAUAAAGUGGAGUUCAACUUAAUUUCACCAACUUCACCUUCAGUCGUAUCCUCUAUCAUCACUAGCAUUUUUGAUGCAUUUAUGCUUUCUUCAUUGCUAUGUUCUUUGGAAGGCACAGAUUUUUGAGCAACUUCUUCACCAGCAUCAUCCUUUCCGCUUUCCUGGAACUCAAGAUUAUUAGGCAUUUCAAUAUUGGAGCAGGCUCCUAAAGAAGUAGAUUGAAUUUCAAUUUCACUUUCAAUGCUAUUUUCAGAAUCUGCUACUUGAGCACAAACCUCUCCCACCGCUAAGUCCAUCUUAGAUUCCAUAUUCAAAGUAAUACUUUCAAUUUUACCAAUUCUCUCACCAUUUUCCCCGGCACCACUAUUUUCUUCCUCCUCCAGAUUAACACUGUGAGAAACUUCGCUUUUGGAACUAAGCUCUAAAGAAGCUAAUUCAGUUCUAGUUUCACUUCCACUAGCAGGAGCUUCCAAUGGAGGAGAAGCCUUUUCUAAAUCAGGAACUAAAGCCAUCUUAGACUCCAUAUUCGAAGUAGUACACUCAAAUUUACCAAUUCUUUCACCUUUUUCCUCAGCACUAGUGUCUUCUUCCUCUUCCAACUUAACACUCUGGGGAUCUUCACUUUUGGAACCGGACUCUAAAGGAGCUGAUUCAGUUGUAAUUUCACUUUCAAUGGCAGAAGCUUCCAGUGGAGGAGAAGCCUUUUCUGUAUCAGCAACUAAAGCUAUCUUAGACUCCGUAUUCAAAAUUGUACACUCAAUUUUACCAAUUCCCUCACCUUCUUCCUCAGCACCAGUAUUUUCUUCCUUUUCCAACUUAACACUCUGGGGAACUUUACUUUUGGAACUGGACUCUGAAGGAGCUAAUGCAGUUGUAGUUUCACUUUCAAUAGCAAAAGCUUCCAGUGGAGGAGAAGCCUUUUCUGUAUCAGGAACUAAAGCCAUCUUAGACUCUGUAUUCAAAAUAGAACAUUCAAUUUUACCAAUUCCCUCACCUUUUUCCUCAGCACCAGCAUUUUCAUCCUCUUCCAACUUAACACUGUGGGGAACUUCACUUUUGGAACUGGACUCUGAAGGAGCUAAUUCAGUUGUAAUUUCACUUUCAAUAGCAGAAACUUCAAGUGGAAGCGCAGCCUUUUCUGUAUCAAGAACUAAAGCCAUCUUAGACUCUGUAUUCAAAAUAGUACACUCAAUUUUACCAAACCCCUCACCAUUUUCCUCAGCACCAGCGUUUUCUUCUUCUUCCAACUUAACACUGUGGGGAACUUCACUUUCCAAACCAGACUCUGAAGGAGCCGAUUCAGUUGUAAUUUCACUUCCAAUAUCAGAAGCUCCCAGUGGGGGAGAAACCUUUUCUAUAUCAGGAGCUAAAUCCAUCUCUGAUACCAUAUUCAGAGCAGUAUCCUCAGUUUUACCAUCAUUCUCACCACUUCCUUCAGAACCACCCUUAUUUGACUCCUGUAACUUAACACCAUGGGGCACUUCAACUUCGGAACCCAACUCUGGUGAACCUAAUAGAGUAGUAGUUUCACUUUCAACAACAGAAGCUGUCAAUGGAGUAGAAACCAUUUCUACAUGAUGAACUAAUUCCUGAUCUAAUGCCACAUUCAAUUUACUAGAACCCUCAGUUUUACUAAUGCACUCACCAUUUUCCUUGGGGACAACAUUAUUUUCUACUUUUACAACAUCCCCAAGCUCAUCAAGUUGAUCUUUAGUAUUUAUAUUCUUAGAAGAAUCAACUGAUUUUUUCUCAACCUUUCUGCCAUCACUGACAACAGAGGCAGGUUUCUCUUUAACAACUUCAGUUACUUUGGUUGCAUUUCGUCUUAGUUUUCUCUUAGGUUGAGAUUUAACCUGAAAAUUACGGCCAACUUUCUUCCUCAUAGGUUCCACAGCUGCAGCAUCUCCAUCAGAAACACCAACCGCUUUAAUACUGCUCUUAUCUACCUUGUCCAAAUCUUUGCCACCAACUUUGGCAACAACCUUAGCACUUUCAUCGGUUGUUUGCGUUUGAUCUUCAAUUAUUGCCAUUUCACUCGCAUUUCCAAACCGGAAGAUAACGCUGCCAUCAGAAUGCUCUGCACAUUUCACCAACGCUUACAAUUAUCCUAACGAACAAAAUUUAAUCUAAGCUUCUUUUACUUGAAAUUCACCAGUUACUAAAAAUGCAACACACUUUCAAACAUCAUAACAUUAUGUUGUUCUUAACAAUAGUUGAUUCAACAAACAGUAGAUUCGAAUUCGAUCAUUCGAGAGUAAACAAAAAAAAGAAAAGAAAAGAAAAGAAUUAAAGUGAUCAUUUUAAACGGCGUACCGGUUGCUGAAAUGAUAUCUACAUCAGCAGAAACGGAAUCGGAACUUGAGCACUUGGAAACGACGAACUGGUGAUUGAAUUUAAGUUUGGGAGGAGAGAAGCGAAGUGUGUGAAAAUGCAAUUGAGGGAAGCGGAAGCUCCAGAAGAGUGAGUUGUUGCAGCUGGGAAAACUCAUGGAGCGAGCUUCAAGAGAGGCGAAGAAGAAAGGAUCGGCAGCCAUUGCAUAAUUUAUACUACCAUUUUACAAAAGACUAAACGCAACGGUGAAAGCUUAUUUUAGAAUGAGUUUAAGCUUUAAAGCUGGGGAAUUCAUAGCUUAUUCUACUGUUCUUAGCGUGAUAUUAUGGAUAAGGAGAAUGAUUGAAGCGGGGAUCGGCUGUUGAUGACCAGGGGUUCAAAUCUACAGUUUUACACGUGUCAGAAGAAGAAAAUAUUAGUAGGAAAAAAAUUAACAAAAGAAAAAAAAAUUAGAGCACAUAUUUUUUCCCCACAUUUUCUUUCUGACGCCACAAAUAGUAGUGCCUAGUUGGGGGAUGUUGUUGCGAUUUUGGUGAUGAGGUCCCUUAUUCUCUGUAGAAAUGGCAACAGUGCAGAUCAAAAUUUCUUUUUGAGUAAAACAGUAAGAAUAAGUUAGAUAAUAUAUUACCGCCGGUUAAAAUUUUUAAGAUUACACGUGUUCAUAUGCUUUAAUCAUGAAUUAGUUAUAAACUAUCAUAAUUUUUAGUCACUUGUAAUUGUUUAUGGUAAAGAAAAAGAAAAUAUUUUUGUUUAUUUUUAAGAGGUUUUAUUUUUGUAAGAGUUUUUACUAACCUUUUAAUCUCAAUUUUGAAUUUUUAUUAAGUAUUCUAGUCUAAUUAUUUUGGAACAUGUGUUAAAUAAGUUUUCUCCUUGUGUUAUAUACCAAUAACCUAUGUAGCACUAAUAUUUUUUUUUUCUCAAUUUAGCCUUUAUUUUUUAGCAAAAUUUGACAUUAAUUUAAAAAUAGUCAAAUUUAACUAUUAAUAUUUUAAAAAGAGUUAGGAAUUACUCUUUUUUUUUAACUAAGACCUUAAAUUUUUAAACCAUUACAGCUCAAAUGGUAUCAUAUAUUUUUUAAAAUUUUUAUGAACUUUAUAUACAUAAUGAACUUUGUUGAAUAUUUUUAUCAUUUUUAAAUUAUUUGGCAACGUGACAUAUAAGAUAAAUACUAUCAUGUACACAUAGACUAGCACAUGGGUUGUCACAUUAAUAUCGUUAAAAAACAAUUUUUUAGUCAGUGUUUCCAUAAAAAAAAAGGUAUUUCAAAUUUUUUUUGAAUAGUUAAUGGUCAAAUUUAGCUAAAGAAAAGAAUAAAUACUAAACUGACAAAAGACGUAAAUAUUGAGGGAUGAAUUUAUCAUUGUACAUUUAAUUAAUGAAAUGUAACAUUAGUAAAAAUUUUAAUUUAUUAAACUAGUUUUUCAACCCACGCACGUUGAGUUCAUCAUUUUUGGGCUAAAUAGUUAAAAUUCAAAUGUUACGAUAUAUUCUAAGUUUUUGUACUCUCUCUAUAUUUGACAUUUAAUCCCCAUUUUUUAUUUUUAAGAAUUUUGUUUAUCUAUUUUUCGAAUUUAAAAAUUCAAGUCCAAUUGUUAACUUUGUUAAAUUUAUUGAUGUGACAUUCUAAAUAUUUUAGAAAAAGUACUUACUAGAUAAUCAUGUCGCAAAAAAUGACGUCAUAAUAGACUUGAAAUUAACAAAAAGUUUAACAAUGUUAACAAUUCUUUAAAUUUACAUUAACAUUUUAAUUAGAAUAAAGUAUUUAGAUAAACCAAUAGAAUUAUAAACAUUGAGUUACCAAAUUAUAUAAAAAAAAUCAAUUAUAAAGAUCAGAUCUCAAAUUUAGACGUAGUAUGGACACCAAAAUUGAUAUUUAACUUUUUUUUACAUAAUUAAAAAGUAAAAGGGUACCAAAAUUGAAAAUUCACUAGUAUAGUUAAAAAUAUAAAAAAAAUAAAAGUAAACAAUAUUCGGAGGUCAUAUGCUUCAAUAGGCUUAAAUAAGAGUUAAUAUGUUUUAGCAUACUUGAACCAGAGGCAAAUCCAUGCCUGCCCCUCUAAAAUGAAAAAUUGUUAUUUAAGCUUUUUAAAAUUUUUUAAAAAUUUUAAAUUAACAAAGGUAAAAUUUUCUUUUGACCCCUUAAAAUUAUAAAAAUUCAAUUUAAUCUUUUAAAAAUUAUAAAAAUAUAAACUAUAAAAAAUUAAAAAUUGUUCUAGUUUCCAUUGAGUUCAACCCUCAUUUUCCCGUAAAUAGAAGGCUUUAUCCAAUAGCAAAAAUUUAGCUGCAGUUGGUUGCGAAUUUCGAGCGCCCAGUUAAUCUGUUAUGCUCAUUUGAGCUAAUAAAUGGAGGUCUAGUUAUUUUGAAACUUCCAACAUAGAAUCUCAAAUUCUAUUUGUUAGGCAAUUCAUAUGAAAUCAAAGAUACUUACAUAUGUUAGGAGAAAAAAAAACACUAAGUACAGAGAUCGUUAAUCAAAUAAAAAAAAGAACAUAAUUGGUUAAAUGUAGAAGAACCAUGAGAGAGUAAUUUCAGCAAUGGCGAGCUAACUAGCUAAGGUGAAGAAGACAAAAGGCGAGUGAGUUCAUCAGAGAGUGGAGGCCUUGAAAGUGUUGUCAAAGACAGAACAAAAUCCUUUGGAACCAAACACUUUUCUUCUAUGUAAAGCUUUUCUUGUACCUUUGAAGAUGUUACAAUUUGCAUGCUUUCCUUGUCCUUGCGAUUCCCUUCCUUAUUUUCCUGCAUUUAUAAUUAAACCCCUUAAUUUGCUUAUUUUACCAAUCAUGUAAUGGUAAAAAUACCUCCCCAAUCCCUCUCAAUUGGUCCCUUCUUUUAAAAAAAGAGCAAUUUAAUCUUUGUCAAUUUUAAACAUUAACAACUAAAGACAAUUUUCGUCAAUAUAUCGUACAUAAUUUUGAUUGGUAAAACAGCACAUUUAGCCCUUGAUGUUUACAUGUUUUGUCAAUUUGAUCUUGGUUCUAAAAGAUUUAAUAAAUUUAGGCUCAACAUUUGCACAUAUAGGCAAAUGUUGUACACUAAAUUUGGGAUCACAUUGACAAAUUAAAUGUCUAAAAUUUGAGAGCUAAAUUUAUUAUUAUAACAAUCAAAAUUAUGUACAAUUGAUGAAAAACAUUAAUAUCCAAAAUAAUGUUCUUUAAUUGCUUACUUUUGAAAUUAAUAAAGAUUAAAUUACUAUAAUUUUUUUAAAGAAACCAAUAAUAUGAUUGAAAUUGAUAGAUAUCGGAAAGGUUUCUUAAGAAUGAAAAUCUAGGUUUCUAUAUACUUGGGGUAGAGGAAAUUGAAAUUUUCCUUUUUUUUUUAAUAAAUGAUGACAGUAAUCUAAUUACAAAAAUAAAAUAAAAGAAAAGAAAAGAAAAGAAAAAAAGAGAGUAAGAAAUAGCCGAGAAAGUUACUGGAAAGGAGUUCAUAAGUUGAAGGAUUCCAAGUUGAGCUUGUAAAUACUUGACAUAUUUAAAAGCAGCUUGAAGCAUUUCAGCAGUGUUCAUCUUAGUCCCACCAGGUACAAGCUUCCCAAGUUCUUGAGUCUUCUUAGUUAUCUUCCUCCGCCGCUCUCUCGCCGCAAUGCUUUGUACCGACACACACUUUUCAUCGCUAAUUUUCUUACAGUUUCCUACUGUGUGUGUUCCUUCCAAGUUAUAAACACCAUUCAUGCUAUGAGGGCAAGAAUUUAGAGCAACCCCAUCAAAGAAACCAGGCAUCAAACAAUGAUCUUCGAUGAGUUUGUGGCGUUUAGGGCAUGGAUAAGAGCUGAAGUAAUCGUAUGGGGUGAUUAAAGGGUCGUAAGGGAGUAAAGGGGCACUGUAGUUUUCAGGGUGAAGGAAAUUGUUGUUUAGGUCAAUGCAAGGAUCGAGAAAAGUUAAAGGGGGCUCAAAUGGUGGAUCACAGUAAUAUUGAAGAUGCUGUUGUUGUUGUUCAUGAUGAUCAUCAGCUUGAACUGCUUUUGUAAUUUGAUGAGUUGGUUCCGAGUUAAGAUUCUGAACAUCGGUUUCGCAGUUGGAGUAAUAUGAACUUAAAGCCAUGGUAGUUGUUGAAAAGGAAAACAAGCAAAACCAGAAAUGCAAAUGGGAAAACAAUUACAAGGAAACUUAGAAAAGGGAUUUCAAGGUGGAAAAUUGUCAAAAGUUUCAGUGGUUCUUGACCUGUCGAGACUGGAGACACAAAGAGAUUUUUUAUUUUUAGAAGACAGAUACUUGAUAAAAUCACGAAAAAAUAAUGAAAAAAAAAAACUGAAUGUGAGAGAAAGAGAGUGGUAGGUUGAGAUAAAAUAGGAAAGAUGGGUUAAGGUAGUUAACUGUCUCCUAAAAACGCUAGGGUUCUUUUCCCCCUUCCUAUUAAAGAAACUGAAAAACAAAGAUCCUUUUCCACGCUUUGGUGGCGGCUGCCAUGCAUACUCGUUGGAUUCAUUUAUUGGAUUAAUGUACCCUUUAAUACUUUAAUUUACUUGUAUUUUUUUAAUCAAAUUUGAAUAUGAUUUUAAUAUUUAAUUUGGUACCUACCUAAACCAAACAGAAUCAUGUAAUUAAAGAAUGUUUGACAUAUGUGUUCUAAUAGAAAGACGUAAGUAUUAGGAUAAAAAAAAUUAAGCAUCAAAUUAAACGUUGAAGCCAAAAUUAAGUACUUAAUUGAAGCAAAAAAUAAUUCAACUAUCAAAUUUUUAAAAAAAAAUCCAAGGUAUUAAAUUAUAUUCAAGUAUCAAAUUUAAAAAAAAAAAAACUCAGGUACCAAAUAGUUCGUAAGUUUUAGAUUUAGUUCUUUUACUUUAAUUUUGUAAAUUUUAGUUCAUGUAUUUUUCGAAUUGGUCAAUUUUAGUUUGUGUCCUUUUCAAAAUUUGAAAUUUCAAUCCUGACCCAAAUAGUAAUAGUUAAAUUUAUUUGGAUAAAUUAUGUUAUCAAUUAUGUACUAAGCAUAAAGUUGUUCAAUAAUUCAUGUUUUUUAAUUGCAUCAUUUUUAAUUCAUAUAAUUUUUCGAAUUUUAGCCUUAACACAAACGACAAUAGUUAAAUUUAUUAACCAAAUUUCAUUUUAGUAAUAUGUAGAAAUAAAAAAAAAUACAUUUUACUACAUAUGAUAAUAUGUUUGUCGAAUCAUAUUUUGAAAAAAAAAACUUACCGAAUUUAAUAUUUAUUAGUUAGUAUUAAAAUAUUAAAUUUAAAAAAAUAUAAAAACUAAAAAUGAAGAGAUGAAAAUAAAGAGAAUAAACUCAUGAUAUAGGAAAGCACAAUUUAAUUUUGAUUUUAUUCAUCAAUCCAGUCCUUUUUUUAUAACCAUCGUAAAAACUUGGAGCCCUUUGUAGCUUCACCACGGCAGUGUUGUAGUUGGGUUUUUUUUUUCUUUUACUUGAAAAUUAGAUCUAUUUUGAUCUUUAAAUUUAAAGUUUGUCAAGAUUUGAUGAUGUGACCAGUAUUAUUGGAACAAGAUUAGAUUGGACGAAUAAAAAAUUGAUUGAUAUAAGGUUUGAAACUAAGGGGUUAAACUAAUUGACUGAAAAACUGCUUGAAAUUGAUAAAAAUCGAAAACUAGAAUAAAUAUAAACAGUUGAACAAGUUGAAUCGAUUUAAUAAUAUUUUUAGAUUUUUAUGAAUUUUUAUUAUUUAUUUAAUUGUUCUUAGUCUGGCGGUCAAACCGAUUGAACUAGUUGAAUUGGGAACAUGUUUAAUUUGUUCAACAACUUGUCUUUAUUAAUUGAAUAUGACAUUCUGAGAUUGUACUAUAUCAUCGUUGGAAAAUUAAUAAGAAUAGUUACCAAAGUGUACCUAGUUGUCAAGUUAAGAGGCCAAAAAUUAUAUUAUCCCUUGCUAAAAGUAGUGUAUGAAUUUAUAUUAUAAAAUUGUUUGAUAUAUAUUUCGUAAAAAUUAAGCAUGAAUAGAAUUAUUUUGUUUGAUAGUAGUAAAUCUUGGAUUUUUGAAAAUUCAUUUUUAUUAUUAUUUUAAUCUUAUUAAUAUGAUAUUAUUUAUUUUAUUUUGAAUCGUUUUGGACAAAGCUAAAAAGACAAAAUUUGAAUAUUUUAAUUUUUAAUAAAAUGAAGAUUUAAUUUAUUUCAAAAAUAAUAUUCUUAAUAUUGUUCACAUUAAGUUAUAAGUAGUUAUCAAACAUAAUUAAAAAAAUUAUUGGUGAAAUUUUUAAUAGUUUAUUAGACACACUCUAUGUUAAAAUAUGCUAUAGGUCCUUGUACUUUUCAUAAAUUUGAAAUUUAGUCUUUGUACUUUUAUUUCAAGAAAACUUUACUUUUUAGAUCUCAAAAUUUAGGUUUAACUGUUAACAAUGUCAUUUUUUUUGUUAAAUUUAUUGGUGUAAUAUUUUAAAAUAAAAAAAUAUUUACUUAAUACUCAUGUAAUUAAAAAAUAACAUUAUAAUAAACUUAAAUUUAACUAAAUAAUUUUAGCAGAAUUAACAAUUUAACCUUAAUUUUAAAAUAUAAAAAAUAUAAAAACUGAACCCCUAAUUUAUAAAAAUGUAAAAACUUGCUGCAUAUUUUAAACACAGAAUUAAAUUAUUUGAAAUUUCCCAUUUUAUAUUUUUAUUUUUUGGGGUUUACCAUGAAAAAACCAGUCAUUGAGAAAGAUGUUUUAGAGAAAUAGGGAUUAAACUGACAUGCAAUUUUUUUUUUGAAAAUAACUGACCUGCAAGUUUUAUUUAUGACGACAAUGACCAAAGACUUCAUAAAUUCAAAGCAUCCAAUAAAAGAAAAAAAAUAAAAAUGAUCCAUAUAUGCGAUAUUUAAUAUAUAGACAAUGAAUAUCACAUAUUAAAAAUAAUUAUUUGCUCAAAAAAAUAAUUAUUAUGUUUAUUUUCAAUAAUUAUGAAAACAGUCGACACCUAGUGGCAAAUUGAUUUAUGAUACUCUUACAUGUUACAUUUUUAUAUAAAUUUGAUAAAAAAAUAAUAAUGUACAAACAUGACAGCUUAGAUCUUAAAUCUUAAAUUUGAGAUCUUAAAUUUGUGAAUUAUUAUUAUAAUUAUAAUUAAUGAUUAUUAAAUUAUAUUUAAAUAAAAUUAUUAAUAUUUAUUUAUAAAUUUUUUACAAUUUUAUUUAAUUUAAUUUAAUGAUGAUAUGUUUUCUAACUGCAUUAAAUAUUUGUUGGUAUAAAUAAUUAUUAAUAAAUUAUAAGAAAAUCACCUAUUAAAAAAUAAUAAUAUGUAUUUUUAAUAAACUUAAAAUUAUCAUUAAUUUAUUACCAUAUGUUAUAACAUAAUUCACUCAAUAAUAUAUAAAUUACAAUAUAUUCAUUAUAAUUAUAAAUUACAAUAUAUUAAAUACAAACAUAUAUUUUUAUAAUUACUAUUAUUGUUGGGGGAAGGUUAUUAUUAUAUGGAGGAAAACAGGACCCACAAGGGUAAAUCAUAUCCAGGAAUCAAAGGAUCAAAAACAAGAAGAGGCCAAUACACGUUCCACGUGGUUGGGAGCAACAUAGAGAUGUAGAUUGACCUUAACUCCCCAUUGGUCCGAAAUCUAUCCUCCUUACUCCCUUAGAUUUCCUCUUAAGAUUUCAUCAUCCUACUUGUCUUUCUACAAAUCCUUUGAUUCCCACCAUUUUCCACCACAAGCGUGUCCAGAAGGUUCAGAGAUUUUAGAGAGAACAAACAACAAUGGCUGCUACAUCUGGGGCUGUACUAAAUGGAUUAGGCUCUUCAUUUCUUUGUGGGGGAAAGAGGAGCCAAGCCCUUUUGGGUGCCAGCAUUGGGGCCAAAGGCUCGCCCUCCCCUACUGCUGGAACUAGAAAGUUGAUCGUUGUGGCAGCCGCCGCACCUAAAAAGUCUUGGAUCCCUGCUGUUAGAGGUGGUGGCAACUUCAUUGACCCUGAAUGGCUCGAUGGAUCGUAUGUGUUCCUUUUCCUUUUAAAUCUCCCCUUUCCCUUGUUUUAGUCUUUGUGGUUUGCAGUUCUUAGUAUAAAGUUUGCUUUUUCAGGCUCCCUGGAGACUACGGAUUUGACCCACUAGGUCUUGGAAAAGACCCAGCAUUCCUCAAAUGGUACCGAGAAGCUGAGCUGAUCCAUGGACGUUGGGCCAUGGCUGCUGUCGUCGGCAUCUUCGUCGGCCAAGCUUGGAGUGGCAUUCCAUGGUUCGAGGCAGGAGCUGACCCAGGUGCGAUAGCUCCAUUCUCUUUCGGCUCACUCCUUGGUACUCAGCUCAUCCUUAUGGGUUGGGUUGAAAGCAAGCGGUGGGUUGAUUUCUUCAACCCCCAAUCACAAUCAGUGGAAUGGGCAACUCCAUGGUCUAAGACCGCUGAGAACUUCGCCAACGCCACAGGUGAGCAAGGGUACCCAGGAGGCAAGUUCUUUGACCCAUUGGGGCUAGCAGGAACCAUCCAGAAUGGGGUUUACGUCCCUGAUUUUGACAAGCUCGAGAGACUUAAGCUUGCUGAGAUUAAGCAUGCUAGAAUUGCGAUGUUAGCCAUGUUGAUUUUCUACUUUGAGGCUGGCCAAGGAAAGACACCCCUUGGUGCUCUUGGAUUGUAAAAGAAAACUUUAAGGAUCUGUUUGGAUGUAGAUAACUGAGUUAUGUCUUGGACGUAAGGAGAGUUGAGCAAGAAAAAAACUGGAAAUGGUGUUUGUUGAGCUGAUGAGUUCCCUCAAUAGUUAAAAAUUCUAAAGUAAAAUAUCUGAUGUUCAUUGAUUAAAUACAGAUUCUGUCUACUGAUGUAGUAUACUAUCAUUUCCAUGGAAUUUCUCAGACAUAAUGAAAGGUGAAUUUGCUAAAAAUUAAAGAGAACAAAUCAGGAACCAUCUGGUAAUAAAUAUUCAUGGCAAAAAAAGAAAGAUAUUUGUUAGUUUCUCAUGGAAAUUACUGAGUUCCAAUUGAUCUAGACAUAAAAAUCUUAAAAUUUUGGCAAAAAAUAAAAAAUAAAAAAAACUUAGAAAUAAAAAUGUGUGCCAACAUGCUAUCCGUCUAAUUAUAAAAUGGUUCUUCUGAUUGUUAGAUCCAAAAUUGAUAAUUGCAAGUAGAAACUUAGUAGUGACUAACUGCUUCAAGCUCCAAUGAAAAAUAAAGCACAAAAAUAAUCAACACUAGAUAUGUUUAAGCAAUUUUGUUUCUUACAUGUGUGUAGUAAUUUUAUAUAGAGAGGUAAUUCACUAUCUUAACAUUUUGUACAAUGAGUGAUUAAAGUACUAACACCAAUUAAAUUAGCAACCUCACUUUUGUUCUUAAGAUUUAAAUAUUCUAAAUUUUCCCUCUCAAAACUUAGGACAUCAACCAAUUAGCUUACUUGAUUACUUACCCAAUACACAUUAAGAAACAAAUUCUAAAUAACAAAAUAAGUACUGAAAUUCUCCCCAAGCGUUUCAAUGUAUAAGAUUUUAAGGCUUGUUAAGAUAAAUAUUAAUUACAAUCAAAUUCCCAUCAAAAUAAUAAGAUAAUCAGCAUAAAUAAUAUCUUCAAUGUGACUAGGAUAAGUCUUCAAAUUUUCAGGAUAUGUUAUCAAGUUACUCGGCUCAGCUUCCUCAAAAUAUAAAAGUUAAUUUGCUUGAUCUAAUCCAAAUCAAUCUUUAAGAUAUAUUGCUAUGAAUAAUUUGAAUACCAAAUAUGGGCUAAAAACAUCCAAAGUAACAACUAAAAUAAAAGCACAAGAAUUUUUGUUGCCAAAAUUUGUUAAAUUAAACAUGAUAAUUUUUUUGAACAAGUAAUGUCUAAACUAAUUUACACUGUUCAAGGCAUUGCUCAAAAACUACCUCAACAAUCUCCACGUAUUAAACACCAAAUCCGAAUGCCCUCUUGAGAAACUCCCCUUUAAUCAAAAUGCACCGGGCCUGAGAAUGAACACUAAAAUACCGCAGACUCCCCCAUCUUUUAUUUGUAUUUUAAAAUAUAAAAAUCUUGGUCAAAGGUCAAACUUCCUUUUUGUGUGACCUUAAUUUAAUUUAAUUUAAUUUAGAAAUUUUUUUUCAAAGGCUUAAAAUCAUCUCAUCACCACACAUUCUCUAUUAAACUAUAAAAAAAUGUGUCAAAUGACAAAAAUGCUCAUGAUGGGCAGAAUGAUUUUCACCCCUUGGGUCCAAAACUAGAAAAAUGACUUAAAAAUGUGAUCACAUGACCUUCCUAGGAUUUAAAUCCUAAAAAUUUCAAAUAAAUCAAAUUUCUCAUAUAGCAUUUCACAUAGAUAAUCAAAGGAAUCUGGAAUGUUAGAGGAAAAAAUAUUAAAAGGAAAGAUUUGAUUAAUUCCUAGCUUUGUAUUCAUUGGGAGUUAUUAGAGUAAUGUACAGGGUAGUGAUUUGUUGCACAUGAAAGUCGUAAUGUAGCACAACUUUGCUUCUGGGUAGUGAAAGAAAACAUUUAGAGAAAAAAAAAAGAGUAAACUUAAGAUUGGCAAAAAAAAAAAUUAAGAUUGGCAAAAAAAAAAAAAUUUCUUUUGCAACGAGGAGGGAAAAUAUGAACAUGUUUUCAACAUGCACUUUGCCCCAUUAUUUGUAGUUAUGAUUUUUCUUUUUGGACAAAUUUGCCUAAUUAGUUAAUUGGUUGGCCAAGAGAGACCACCAACUCCACUUGUAGCCAUUUUUUUUUUAAUUCAACAAGGCUUAAUAUAAAUAUAGAUUACUAUAAAUAUCAAUCCAAUUUGUAAAAAUACAUUAUCCUAUGAAAUUAGGAGGAUUCGCUUUAAAAUUUUAAAAGAUUUAUAAUUUCCUAAUAAAUAAAAAAUAAUUAAUAACUCUUAUAAAGUAUUUUUUGAAAAAUAAUUUUUUAUAUAAAACUUUUAAGUUUUUUUUCACUAUUUAAAAUAUAAAAUAUUUUUUACAUUAUAAAAAUUAAAAUUAAUUAUAAAUUAAAUAAACAAUAGAAUUCCAUUCGGUUUGAUUAUUUUUAAAUUUAAAUUAGUUUUUAAUUUCUCAAUUAUUUUUUACUCAGCCUAAAAAUAUUAAAUAAAUAUGUACGAUAAUUAAAUUUUUAGAAAUUCAUAUCACAUUUUUUAUUUUUAAAUUUUGAACUUAAAUUCUUUUUCUAAGAGAAUAAGUAUUUUUUUAUAGAAUUUUUUUUGCUUUAUCAAGAAAUUAUUAAUGAUUAAGUACUUAUAGAAUUAAUUUCUUUACGUUGGAGUAUAAAUAUGGAGAAUAUAGCAGCCACGCAGGGAGCCAUGUCGCGAAUUUUCUCGACAUUACAUGCGUUGCAUGUCGUAUGGAUACCCAUCGAAUUAAUUAACAUAGACAAAAUCCAUAUCUUUUCAAAACUAAAAGGUCAGCAAUUCCAGCUAUAAACAAAUUAGGCUGCUUUUAAGCAAUCUCACUUAGGGCAGUUCUUUAUUCCAUUUGAGAUGGAUUUAUACAAGUAUUUUUUCUCUAAAAGCAGUAAAGAACAGCUAACAGUGGUAAACUUUUUUUUGACUUAAAUUAAGUACUUUUAGCUAGUUCUAGGAAAAAUUAGCUUUUUUCAGCCAAAAAGUAGUUUUGACUAUUAAUUUACCUUUUUAACCUUACGAUUUUUACAUGUUACAAGAUAUUUUUUUCACCUUUUCUCUUUUGUCUUCUUUUUUUUUUGAACUUUAUUUUUCCUCUGGUUUGUUCCUCUUCUCAGUACCAGUAAGUUUUAUCUUUUUUGCUUCCAUUCUUCUGUCUUUGAUUUUAUGAAAUAAUUAUGAAAUUUAAUAAAUAAUUAAUAUUAAUUACUUAGAAAUAUUUAAAAUUAAUAUUAUAGAUUAAAAUAUUAACAAUAAGUUAUAAUAAAUUAUUUUUUAUAUUUUUGCUAAAAUAUCAUAAUAUUAAUUAAUUUAAAUAUUAUUUAAAUACAUAUUUGUUACUUUAUAGUAUCAUGUCUAAAAUAAACAUUUUACUUUUCAAAAACACUUUUUGACAGCAAUACCAAACAAUUAAAUUUUUCAAAAAUACUUCUUAAAAGCACUUUUCAAAAAUAUUUUUCCACGGCACUUCUCAAAAGCAUUCGCAGCCCUUAAUAAAUUGAUAUAGACACACACAUAUCUGAUUGUAUAAAUCAAGUGCUUCCCUUCGAUCAGUCACUUGCGUAUCUAUCCAUAAACACGUAUCUGAUUGUAUUAUUUUGAAUGAAGAGCUUUUACUUUUUAUCAGCUUACGCUGAUAAAAACAUCAAAUUAUGUUUGGUUUAAUUAACUUUAGAACAAACUUUGCGGAUUUCACCCACAGUGCCUGUCUUCACUUCAAUGUUACUCAUCUUCACCAUGGACCUUCCAAAUUCAAUGUUAAAGGUCAAUCCAAGUAAGCCUCUAAUGCCCAAGAAUCGUUGGACAAAGGUCUUGGUAGAAGCAUCAGUCCAUAACCUUUGAUCAGAUUCCAGUAUUCCCUUCCCAUCUCUCAAGUUGGCAAAGAAAGAGUUAUCAAAUCUGUUAACGCUGCCUGUGUCCAAUCCAAUCCUCCUUGACCCAUCACCGUUCUGCGGACACAGCGCUUGAAGCUGGGAAACGAAUGCGGCGGUGAUAGAAGGGUCGGCUCCGUUUCCGGUCGUGGUGAAGUUGUAAAGCCUGUAUCUGAAGAAUUGGCAGGCUGUAGUACCGAUCGUGUGGCCUCCUGGAGUACAUAAAAUUAAUGCAUUGAAUUUCAUCAGUUACAGUGUGAAAUUUUUAAUUAAGGGUUAAAUUCGAAUGAAAUAGAAACCUAAAUGCUUACCAACAAGGGUGACAAGAUCUUGAGUAUUGAGACCCUUUGCUGCAAAUUUUUGCUUCUGCACAUCGACUGAGUCACGGAAGCCUGGCAAAUUGGCCGCAUCAGAAGCCUGUGAAACCGUUCCAUCUCGGCGGCCUGUCGGCACUGCCCAGCUGGCUCCACUGCUCUGCAUCAUACAUUAUUAACCAAUAAUUAAACUACGUAUAAUCCUUAUUAAUUCUUUCAUCCGAAACGAAGAUCAAAGGAACAUAUAGUUACCAGAACUACAGAAUCACGAGCAGCGAGGGCUAGGAUAUCAGCACACGAAACAACUCCAGGGCAUGCAGCUUCAAGCUGAGUCUUGGCAUCAUCAAUGACUUCGUAACCUCUCAACAAGAGGUUCGGUGGGGCGGUUUUCUCAGUGCCAGGUCCAUCAAUAAGGAUGGAAGCAUCGCAUCCAUGGACAAAGCAGUCGUGGAAAUGCAUACGGAGCAAACCAGGAGCAAUAGUGGGAUCAGACCCGAAAUGGGAUUGAACCGUCGACCUCACGAUGGACUCAACUCGAGGACAUGAAGUUGAGUAGAACCCAACCCUGGUGCCCUGGCUUUCCACCAAGCUGACAGCUAUGGCAAGCAAUAGGGUAACUAAAAGGACAUUUUGGCUGAAACAACUGACAUCCAUUGUUGUAAGAGACGAUAUACUUGUCUAAGAGCUUAUAAAAAACCUUGAUUAAGAUAAUGUCUGAGAGAUGAGGCUUUUGAUUCAGGAUUGACAAUUGAGUAGUACUUAUAUAGGCAAAAGAAAGUCAGCUAUACUUUUACAGCUACUGUGUAUACGAGAGAGAGAUUCAAAAUGGAUCAGCUAAGACUUUGGGUUUUGGGGUACAUGCCAAAUGUAAAGCCAAAAGAAGCUUACUUUCUCUCGCAUUAUCAACUUGCAUGCAUGUGAGUCCCAUAUCACUAUUUUUCCUACCUAGUGACAAAGUCGUCGAUCACGAAUGGGAUUUGAGUAGUGUUUAUCUAAUUUAUUUCCCUUUGACUUGGACUGCUUCGCAGAUAGGCAAGGAAUCAUUUAAAUGGUUAAUUAGUAAACACAAUACUUUGCAAGAGUAAGUGACCAAAGUUAUAUUAAUUAAAUGGUUAAAUGAUAACAUUUAAAAACUUUAAAGUGGAUUCCACUGUAUGGUGCUAAUUAGGUGUUGGUUUAUGAAUAGUUUCUUCGUCCAAGAAAGGAAUAGUUCCAUGAAUGGAUCAAAAUGAACUACUCGAAAGAGAGAUGAAAUGACAAACUACUCUCUUGCACCUUUUAUCAAUUAGCGUUCCAUCUUUUUAUCCUUCUUCUUUUUAUGAUUUUAGUUGAUUAAGUUAAAAUUAAUGUUAAAGUUCUACCCAAAUUUUUAUUAAAAUAAAAUAUAUGUAGUAAGAUGGGGAUUCAUGAGGGCGAAGGUCAAGGGCUGGAGAACUUGUCCAUUAAGAAUUCGGGUUAAGAUAGUACGGUACAGGCUGCACAAGAAGAAUCUGUAUAGAAGUUUACUUCAUCUAUUUGAUAUUGAUUUGAAUAAGGUGUUUUAACAUUAUUGUAUUAUUUCGAUUAGAUGUUGAUUAGAAUAAUAUUUUCUAAACCUAUAAAUAGAUGCACUCUAUACUCCUUAUAAUUAUUUGAAUUCGACAUAGUGAAAUUUUUUUCUCUACUUGUAAUUUUUUUCUAAAAAGGUUUCUACUUAAAAUCUAUAUGUUCUAUUUUUCUUUUCUUUUUUAUGAUAUAUUGUCAUUAUUGAUAUUUUAUUUUGUCAAAUAUGCCAUUAAAACAUUUCAAAUGUAAUUCACUUAUUGUAUACAAUUGUUUUGUAAGAUAUAGCGUUCAACAAUGUAUUUAAAAUAGUCAGCUUUUUUGUAAAUAAAUAAACUAUAUAUAAUUUUAGUUGUCUUCGGCUUUUAGCUAAUUAUAUGUUAAAGUGGGAUUAAGUAGAGUUGGUGAGACAUGAUAAAACCCAAGCGGCAAAACGCGUGACAGAAUGAUGAUGACGAAGUUUAAUUUGUCUUGGCCUUCUGAUUUACUUACUAAUAGGGUGGCAUUGACGUUGACGUUCCUCUUUUCGGCUGCCUCAAAGCUAUCUUUUUCCCAUUCUCCUUUCCUUUUUUUUUUUUUAAUAUCUUGAAAUGGUUUCUCUCGCUCGAACGCGUUUCAUGCACUACAUGGAAUCAACGUGUUCAUACUAUUAAGUGUUUUUUUUCUUUUUUAAUUAUUAUCAAAGAAACUAUGAUGGUGGAUUUCAACCUAAAAUAUAUUUACGUGAAUCAAAUAUUAAUUUAAUUAAAAAAUUAAAAUCUUUUGAGAUAAAUAAAUAUUAUUAUGAGGUAAUUUUCAUUCUUUAUACAAAAUUUAUAUCAAAAUAUUUUAAAAUUUAAUAUCUGGAGUUUCUUUUUGUAUAUCAUAUGGAUGAUUCAAUCUGCAAGGACCAUGAUUGAGAAUUGUUUAAUCGUCUUUCUUCGAGUGAGAGGUAAAAUAUAAUUAACUUGAACUCGGGACACCUAUUUGAAAUCUCAUAUUUGCUUUUUGUGAAAAAAUACCAAUCGAAGUGGAGAGUUUCUUCAAACAACAAGGAACUGGGGCAACUAUUCAAUCAAAUGAUAUUGAGCAUGUUUCCCAUCUCUUCUCGAGAGGCAAGUGGGCUAUUUCGUUACAAAAUUGUGCUCAAUUUCAUAUGUGGCAAUUCCGCCAAGAUCUCUUCGUUAGUUGGGGGAAGAAUCCACACGAAUCGGAUAUUUUGUGGAACACAUUGAGAGAGAAUUGGAUUUGGUUAGACAAUAUAUGGUUGGUAAACAGGGAUCGAUUUUUUAGCAAGUACGGAAUGUAUCGUCAAAUAUUCAAUAUGAUUCCACAAGAUUUAGUUUCAUUCAAGUAACGAAUUCUCACCAAUCUAAUCUGUUUCGUUAUUCUAAGUGGUUAUUCUAUUUUGGGGAAUGAAGAACUUCUUAUUCUUAACUCUUGGGUUCAAGAAUUCCUAUAUAAUUUAAGCAACACAAUAAAAGCUUUUUCUAUUCUUUUAUUAAUAGAUUUAUGUAUAGGAUUUCAUUCGCCCCCAGUUGGGAACUAAUGAUUGGCUCUAUCUAUAAAGAUUUUGGAUGUGCUUAUAAUGAUCUAAUUAUAUCUAGUCUUGUUCCUACCUUUACAGUCAUUCUAGAUACAAAUUUUAAAUAAUAGAUCUUUCGUUAUUUAAAUCGUGUAUAUCUGUCACUUGUAGUUAUUUAUCAUUCAAUGAAAGAAUGAAAAAGGAUUCACGGAUUCAAUUAUCAUCUUUCUUACUUUCUAGAUAAGCAAAGCAUGUAAAGUCGUACUUACUUUACUCUUUCUACCCAUCAGGAGAAUACAAUUUCUCCUCUAUUUCAGCCAUUUUUUUCAAUUUUUAGUAAAAGAAAAUAGCGGAAUCGUGGCUAAGGAACUAUACUUGUGACCUACCUAAUUUUAUUAUAGAAAUUUUUGGGAUCAAUGAUUGGACCAUGCAAACUAGAAAUACAAAGAAUUAAUAUUUAGAUUUAUAGAAAUACUUAAACUUAUAAAUAGAGGCAUGUUCACCUGUUAGAUAGAGGCAAAGUAGAUUUAAUUAUGAGUCGGGCCAUUCACUUAUGCCCAAAGGUCCGUCUGGAAAGUGGGAGGGUUUGGAAAAAAAUAUAGGUUUGGACAAAAAAUAAGGCCCAUUUUCUAAAUUGGUUGGGCUUCGGGUAAGAUUUUUUUUUUGUCCAACCCCACCCGAAUCUGCCUAAAGUUUUUUUCCUGCUGUUGUUUGCUAUUGUUUUGUUGCUGUUUUACUAUUAUGUUACUACUAUUUUGUUAUUAUUUGGAUAUUGUAUAACUCUUAUUUUAUUAUUAAUUUUUCUACUAUUUUAGAGGCAUCUGCUUUGCUAAGUUCCAACUGUUAUUUAAGUAUAAAGACUUUUUUAAUGUAUUUUCAAUUUUUGGGGAAACAUUUAUUUUAAUGUUUUUAGUAUACUUGAUAUAUUAUAUUUAUUAAAUUUGUUUUUAUAUAAAAAAUAAUAUAAAAAAAUUUAAUACGACCGGGUCGGGUUUAACAUUUUUAUCUGGGUCGAGCUUGAACAAAAAUUUAGGCCCAUUUUUUUUGGCUCAAGUCCAAAAACAAGCCUAAAUUUCUGCAUCAGCUUGGCACUGUCUGGUCCAUGAUCAAGUCUAAGUCGAAGCCAAAAAAAUUUUUUUGGAAGGGCCGAAAUUAAAUUUUAUAUUCUUAUGAUAGUAAAAAAGCAAUUUUACCAUUUUAAUAGCCUAUAUCUUUAUAAUUUGUAAAGGAUUAAAUCAAAUUUUUAUCAUUUUGCAAGGCUAAACUGUAAUUUUACCAUUAUUAAUUUAAAAUUUUAUAAAUUAUAAAUAGACCUAAACACACAAAAAUUCAUUUUAGGGGGGCCCUACCAACCCCUAGCACUGCCACUGGUUAUAGAUAUUGGGAGCGGGUUAAACUAUUUGAUAAGUCUUACCAUAAUAGACUUGUUUAAAGGUUGUGUUAUUCGUCUAAACUCAAAGAGUUUAGUUCAAUAUUUGAAAAAGUUGGACACAAAUAUUAGUCCCACAAAUGAGCUUCGACAAGAAAACUAGGCAUGUUGCAAAUAUAGAUCGGGUUUGGACUCCAACAUCCAUAGCCCGAGCUUUUCUCAAACCGUUUUUAAUAUUGUCAUAUGUUGUUUUAUUUUUAUAUAUUAUGUAAUAUAUAUCACAUAAAAUUAAAUCUAUAAUAUCAUAAAAUACUAUAAUGUAAGCAUAAAAAAUAUGUUAAGUUAUUGAUUACUAAAAUAAAAGAAAAACAUAUACAAAUAUUACAUAUUAAAUUAAAAAUAAUAUAAAUUAUUUUUAUAUGUCAGACCUAAAACAAACUUAGAUUAAUUAUUUAUUAAUAUGGAUGACUUUAAUCAAAAUCUAAGAUCCAUAUUUUAAGUCAAAUUAAGCUUGAACAAUCAUAUUAAUUAAAUACAUAUAACUUAUAAUAGGUUGAAAUUGUUAAAUUAAUUUUAUUUUUAAAAAUUAUAUUUUUUUAAAAAAAUAAAAUAUUCAAAUUAUCAUAUUUUACUUUUAUCAAAUAAUAUAAUUAUAUUUUUAAUUAAUCUUUACUAUUUUAUAAAAAAAUUGAAAAAAAAAGUUUUUUUAUAUGAAAAAAAAGUGUACAAAAGAAAUAACAUGUAUACUUUUGUAUAUAGUGUUUUUCUUUUGACCUGAAAAUGUGAGUGACUUAAAUAGUAUAUCGUUUCUUGAGAAAAAGUAUUUCAUUGAAAAAAUGAUUUUUUUUACAAGUUAGGCUAAUGUAAUCUAUAUUAACAAUGCUAUCAAGAAAUCCUAACUCGAGUUGGUGACAACUUUAAUUAAUUUAUUCUUAACCACAGACAUAGAAUCUUAUAUAAAAUUUAAUAAUGGAUCGAUGAUAAUUCAUACAAUGCAUCGAGAGUUGUGUAAGGUAAUUUUGGAGGUUUAAGAAGAGUAUAGAAAUUUUCUUUUUUUUGGGUCUAAAUAGCAUACAGAAUUUAUAUGCUCUGAUAUGUGUAAACGGGCCAAUUUGCCCGGCCGUUAUAAACAAAAAAAUAAAUAUAAAAUCCAAACCGUAUAACAGUCCAAAUUCCAAAAUUAUUACAAUGACCCAUAGCCCAUUUACAAAUAAACCCAGACCCAAAGUUACAAGGCCCAAAUGGCCCAAAAGACUUUAGAAACAAAACCCUAGGGUUUCUCUCCCUUGCACUGUAGCCUUCAGCCGCCGUACAGCCCCAACGCCGCUCGUGCCUCCACGUCAAUAGGCCGUACGCCACCCUCACGCCUAGUGCCAGCACAUGCUCCGUACCUGCAAAAGAAAACAAGAAAACAGCAGCGGAGUAGCAGCCAAUAGGAGAACAAAAAUUGUUGUUUUUUCUUUUGAUUAUUCGGCUAUAAAGCCUUUUAUUUUUCGAUUGUAAUGGCCCUUUUUUACGCACACGGAGUGAAUAGAGAAAAAAGCAGAAAUCACAAAUCAAAAGGUGAUUUUCAAGUUUUAUCCUUUUGUCUUUCUUCUCAUUUUCUUGUUAUUUUAGCAUAAAAGAAAGAAACAUUUGAAACGACACCAAUGAAGUCCCGAAUAUCUCAGAAAUAUUGAGAUACGGACGACGGUCGGAUGGUAUUAAGUUUUUUUUUACAUUCGGUUUCAUCCUUCUUAAAUGAACAGUAUUAGAUUUAGGUUUUUUUUUUAAAGAAAAGAGAAAGAAAAAAAUAAAAUAGCAUACCUGGUUUCCUCGCAUGGUACCGUCGUCGGUGGAAUCUGGUCGCUGCUAGUGCAUUGUAGGCCACCGAAUGAAAUGGUGGAUCGGCGGUCGCUGGAAUGAGCCUUAACAAAUCAAUUUAGGGGCUGUAAAUUAGGGUUAAAAUGUUGGCUGCUUUUGGAAAAAGGAAAUAUAAAAGGGUUUUAAAUAACCUAUUAAUGAAAACGGCGCCGUUUGUAACAAUGAGGGUCCGCGCGUCAACCCGGAUAGCAGGUCGGAUCCGCGCCUUUUCAUUCGAAAUGGGGAAUUUGCGCGUUGAGUCCUUCCAUCUGCGCGAGCCUUCAAAUUGCGCCUUAUUCGUUUUGCCUUGUUUUUUUUUAAAUUAGCUCGUUAAUUUGUGCGCGUUUGCAUACUAGUCCGUGGUACAGCGCAACUUUUUGGGGCCUGGAUUAUUUCUAGUUUGAGUCCCUAUACAUUUGCGCGCAUUACCUAUUGGUCCCUUUUAUUAUUAUUGUUUUAUUUUCAGAUUAUCCCUUUUGUUUUAGUUUAAUUCUAAUUAAGUUUUUUUAUUUUAUUCCCCUUUUUAUUCUUAAUUACUUAUUCAUACAAUCAUUUUGAAGAUUUUUUUAUUAGAUUAUUUUAAUAUUUUGUACAAUAUUUUUAUUUCUAUAUAUAUAUAUUUGUACAUGCAUGACUUUAUUUUAUAAAAUCAUCAUUUUAAAUUUCUUUUUGCAUUAAGCUAUUCUAAUACUCUUAUAUAACCUCUUGUUCAAAUAUUAAUAUAUAUAUUAAUACACCUAUUAUUUUAAUAGAUUUUUUUAUUUUAAAAUACUUCUUGCUUUAUGAUUCGCUAAGUAUUUUUCUUUAUGUAUAUAUGAAACUAUUUUAGGAACUUCAUCUUUGUAAUUAUAAAGUUAUUAUUUUGAAAUGUUUCUUUAUAUUAUAUUAUUUUUAUGUUUUAUAUAGUAUCUCAUUUAAAUAUUUUUAUAUAAUGGUAUGUAUAUAAUUUAUAGGUUAACCUUUUAUAUAUAUAUAUUAUUAAUCUCAUGCUAUUUUUACAAGUAAUUUAUUUAUAUAUGCAUGUUUUGUAAAUCUAUUAUGUGUAUUAUAUCUUAUCAUGUAUUUUUAUUAUUCUUUCAUAUUAUAUAUUAUUUAAGUUAUCAUGUACCUUGUCAAUUUUUAAAUGAAUUUCUGUUUAAAAUAUUUUGCAUAUGAUUUGAUUCAAACUUUAUUUCUAUAAUAUCUAUUUCAAUAAAUAUAUAUCCCUAGUUUUUAUGCAAAUUUGUCAACUUAUAUAUUACGUGUUCAUUUAUUUGUCAUUAUUUUAAAAUCGUUUUAUAGCACAUUAGCUUCUAAUUGCCAUUUUGUUUUGUUUUUUUUUUUUUACAUCUUGCAUUGAUUGUUUUAUAUCAUGCUAUGUAUAUUAUUGUGGCAUAUUAUUGUGUGCAUUGUUUUGUUGUGUUGUAUUGUUAUAUUAUUAUUUUCAUCAUUGUAUUAUUAUAUCAAUUAUUUCCCAUGCAUGAUCGUAAUCGGGUUAUAUUUUUUAGGUUAGUUAUGCUUAAUUGUUUACUUCGUUAGUUGAAUAAAUAAGACACAUUAUCCUCAUUCAUCAAGUAUUGUAUUUUAUGUGUGUAUAUUAUCCCAUAUCAUUGUUUUUCACUUGGUUUACGAAAUGUAGCUUUAUAAGAUCCAAAUCUUUAAGAUUAAUUUCGUUUUAUUUCAAGUCGCAUUAACACGUUUUGAGCUAUUUUUAUAAUUAUUCAUUUAAAAAUUCUUUAAAACGAAGGCAAUGCUCGAUGUUUGGCAAUUCAAAAAUCAUGCCCUAUCGUGUUGGGUUGCGAUUUCCCGUUUGUUCAAAACAAUCGAAUAUUCCUUUGGAAUUUCACUCAUGUCUUUAAAAAUUCUUCAAAACGAAGGUAAUGUUCGAUGUUUGGCAAUUCGAGGAAUAGUGCCCUAUCGUGCUGGGUUGCAAUUUCCCGUCUAUUCAAAAUAAUCGAAUAUCCCUUUAGAAUUUCACUCACGUUUUCUAAAUUCUAAAACAAGGCAAUGUUCAAUGUCUAGAAAUUCGAGGAAUCGUGCCUUCCUGUGCUGGGUUUCGGUUUUUUUGUUGGACUAAAUGAUUAGGCAUCCUUUUAUGAUUUUCAACAUAUAAACUUUUGGAAGUCGAAAUUUAUCGAGUUUUCGAGGGUAUAAAGGAUCGUGUCCUAUCGUGCUAGACGUGAUGCUGUAUUCCUCUGAAACAAGAGAAUUUUGACGACCAACUUGGGUUAUUCAAAUGUUUAUAAAAGGAAUCACAUUUCGAAAAACAUUUUUUUAAAUCUCAGACAUAAGGACAGUAUUUAAUCAAUUUGGUACCAAUUUUGGGCGUAAUGAGGGUGCUAAUCCUUCCUCAUACGUAACCGGCUCCCGAACCUGUUUUCUCAAAUUUACGUAGGCCAAAAUCGUUGUUUUAGUAAGCCAAAAUGUUUUAUUAAAAUGACCAAACUUUUUUGUGAUCCAAUCACACCUAAACAAAAAAGAUUGGUGGCGACUCCGCACUUUGUUUUAAAAAGUCGAUCCCCAUUUCGCUUUUAAAUUUAAAAAUGGUUUCGACAAUAUGGAUAGCUUAAAAUAGGUGUAUUGCUAAGAAGAAUAGGUACUUUAUUCAUGGUGUCUUCCAAAAAUAUAUUUAGAUGUGAUAGGGAGAUUCGAUGUACACACAUGCUAAGCUUAUAGGGAAGAUGUGUUGAUAAAGAGUGUAAUUUAGAUUAAGGGUGAGUAUUCGAUUAAGUCGAGUAGAAUUGAGUUAAAAAAUUUCGAGUUAGUCGAGUUGACGAAUUCUAAUUUAGUAAUUGAACUCAAUUUGAAUUUUUUUUAAUCGAGCUGAAUCGAGUAAAAAAAUUUCAAGUUGAGUCAAGUUAACGAAUCUUAUUAUUUAUGUUAAAUGUUGCAUUUACAUGGAUCGACUAUUUAACUAGUAGACGAAGUACAAGCUUUUAGAUUAAUUUUGAGUAAAGGAAAAAGGGAAAGUGGGGCGAUUCGGGAAGGUAAGUAAGACUAUCGGGUAAACUUUUAUUAAAACAAUGUAGUUUUGCCUUUUAACUUGAUAGUUUUGACUUUUUACUUUAAAUCAGGUAAACAUUUAUUAAAACGAUGUAAUUUUGCUUUUUCUAAUUUGGAUUUUCGAAUAACUCAAAUUAAGUGUGAGUGUUUUGGUCGAAUCGAGUGAAAUUGUUCGAGUUAAAUUAGAAAAAUUAAUAAUCAUGUCAACUUAAAAUCUUGUUACAAUAUAACUAUUUCUAUGUUAGAGCACAUAAAUUUGAAAACAUAUAUAUUUGAAAACUUUUUUAAAGCAUAAUAAUAAUAAGAUGUUUUAGUAUGAUAAACUUAAAAUCAUUAAUCACUUUAGAUUCCAAAAUUAUUAUUUUAUAAAAUUUUAAAAUUUCAACUUUUUUUAUAUACUUUUAGAUUUUAAAAAAAUAUAAUUUUUUAAAAAUACAAAUUUUUGAAUUUUUAUAAAUAUUGUUAAUUUUAAAAAUUAUUUUGAAGAUUUAAAAAAUAUUUUAUUUUUUUGUAAUUUUUGUUAAGAGAGAGACCAAUUUGCUCAUUUUCAAAAUUGAUAGGGACCAAAAGGGUAUUUAUACUAAUCUAUUAUUCAAAUUGUAAAAAUUCAACUCGACUCGAACUCGAAAUCUGAAAUUUCUUAUUCAAGUUGACUCGAAUAAUUUGAAUAACUCGAAUAAUUCAAUUUGAUUAACUCGAAUUUUAAUUUUUUAAUAUUUUCGAAUUGAAUCGAAUUUCACUCACCCCUUAACUUAGACAAGGUGAUCAUGCAAUGUAUGGUGAAGUGAUUCAUUUGUACAAGGUAACCUCUUGACUAUAAGUAGGGCGAGCUUAUCCUCUUCUAUCAUAACAUAGCAAAAUUACAAUUGUUGAAACUAUAGCUAAAAACUAAAACCGUUUUAAUUUUUUACACAUUAUAAAAAAUUACUCAUAACCUUUCUUCAACAUUUUAAAAUAUACAAUACCAUAAUUUAUUUUUUAACAUCGAAGACAGCAUAUAAAAUUUGGUGAAUUUUUUUUGCCCAUUCAUAUUAAUUUUUUAUAUAAAAAUAAUAAUACAUCAAAAACAUUAAAAAAAUAAAACAAGAGUUAUACAAUAUUUAAACAAUAAUAACAAAAUAAUAGUAACAUAAUAGUGAAAUAACAACAAAAUAAUGAAAAAAUAAUAAAACACUGACAAAACAUGAGUAAAAACAAUAACUAAACAAUAUAUAUUUUUUCUUUUUUUUGCAAAUUCAAAUCAAGCCAAAUCUAAACUAAAAAACUUUCCUUGAGGUCUGUUAAUUUUUUAAAUGAACUUUAAUAUUUUUGCUUAAAACCAUUCUUUGAAUUUAUAUUUAUAUUUUUCCUAAAACCAUUCUUUGAAUUUAUAUAUUUCUAAGAAUAAGGUGGUAUUUACUACUGUUGAUGCUACACGGAAAUGAAGCUAAGGAGUAGAAAAGUAAAGCAGGUUUUUUCAUGUCUUUCAACAAAGGGAUUUGCAUGGAAUCCAAUGCACGCGUUAACGAAAUUUCACAUUUUGGGUUAUUUUAUGUUCUAAAUUCGGAAAACACUGUAUAUAUUAAACAGAGAAUCACGAACAGUUUUAAUCAUUAUUUACUACAAAAAUUAAUUAAUUACUUUAUUUAUCCCAUUAAAACAAACACUUGCGCAAUUUAAUAAUAUUACAAUCAUUCCUUUUCCAUAGAUUACACAGACUUUUAGAUAUAGUGGCCUUUUAGGGUCCUCAUUAUUUUUAUUUUUUAUUGAAUCAUACAAUAAAUAGAUGACAUCUACAUGAAUAUAUAUAAUUUAUAUUGGAUGUUAUUUGAUAUAGUGAUAAUGUAUAAAUUUUUUAUAUUAUUCAUAAAGUCAUUUAGAUUUAAUUUUAAAUCUUAAAUUAAUAGAGUUAUAGUUUGCUACCCAAUUUAAUGUGACAAAUUUGGCGUAGAUGAGUUGUUAAUUAUUUGAUAAGAUUUCUUGAAAAUAUAUAAAAAUUAGUUGGUAAGAUAAUGUCUUGUCUUAUUCGAUGGAUUUAAGAAUUAUAUAAAAUUAACGAGUCUUAAAUCUUAAUCAAGUGAAAAUCUUAAUACAUUGCAAGCCUGCAGUUAGCUGUCACCUUCAAAUUAGCCAGUUGGCAAGUUCAAUUGAGUCGUACAUAUCUAAUUACAUAUACAUUUUUUUUAACAUACAUAAAAUAAAAAUAAUAAUUUUAUAUCUGUGUUAUUAAAUAGAUGAUGUUUGAAAAAAUUACUAGGUCUUCACGUGAAGCUGAAAGACAGCUCGCCAUUGCAAUUUGCUUUUCGUUUCGACUAUGCUUAAGCAGAAGCAGGCAAGCAGCUACAUGCUAAUUGUCUACCAACUCAUCAUUCCUCCAUUAUUGUUAUUUUGAAUUAGCCCAUUUUUCCCUUUUCUUAUAGCCGGCUUUCUUUACUUUUUCUCUAUGUUGACUAAAUUUUUGGCUUAUAAAUAAACCCCCACCUCUGCUCUGCUCUCCCAUCCCACAAACUCACAAUCAAUUACAUCCACUGGACACACACACCAUAUCUUUCUCUUAGCUCUUUAUCCUUAAUUAUAAUCCCAGUCUACUAACUACGAUAAUGAAGGGUGCUUACACCAACCCACGUUUCUUCCUUGCAAUGACUUUCAUGCUUGCCAUGGCUGCUGCAUUGGUGCAAGCUCAGGGAACUCGAGUUGGGUUCUAUGCAAGAACAUGCCCUCGAGCUGAAUCCAUUGUUAGGUCAACAGUUCAGUCCCAUUUCCGUUCUAAUCCUAACAUUGCACCUGGCUUGCUGAGGAUGCACUUCCAUGACUGCUUUGUUCAGGGAUGUGACGCCUCCAUCCUCAUUGAUGGCCCUAAUACGGAGAAAACUGCCCCUCCAAACAGAUUGUUGAGAGGGUAUGAAGUUAUUGACGAUGCCAAAACUCAGCUCGAAGCUUCAUGUCCUGGUGUCGUCUCAUGCGCUGAUAUUCUAACCCUUGCAGCUCGUGACUCCGUCUUUCUGGUAAACAUUACUACGUUUUCUUAAUCAUAUACUACUAAAAGCUCUGUCAAUGAAUGGCUGAUUAUGUAUUUCUUGCAUAUAUGAAAUGCAGACGAGAGGAAUAAACUGGGCGGUUCCUACUGGACGCAGAGAUGGGAGGGUUUCAUUGGCAUCGGAUACCACCAUUUUGCCUGGAUUUAGAGAGUCCAUUGAUUCUCAAAAGCAAAAGUUCGCCGCCUUUGGUCUCAACACUCAAGACCUUGUUGCUCUCGUUGGUAAGUAAUUUUGCUUCAAUAAUGUUCCAAAGCUUUUAUCUGAUUAAAAUCGAGUCUGGUUGACUUAACAUUUGUUCCUUGUUGUUGCAGGAGGACACACCAUAGGGACUUCAGCUUGCCAGCUUUUUAGCUACAGAUUAUACAACUUCACCAACGGUGGUCCAGACCCCACAAUCAACUCAGCAUUCGUGCCUCAACUGCAAGCACUUUGCCCACAAAACGGUGACGGCUCAAGGCGCAUUGAUUUGGACACUGGUAGUGGAAACAGGUUCGACACCUCCUUCUUCGCCAACUUGAGGAAUGGUCGGGGAAUACUAGAGUCCGAUCAAAAAUUGUGGACUGAUCCCUCCACCAGGACUUUUGUGCAGCGCUUCUUGGGUGAGAGAGGCUCGCGGCCUUUGAACUUUAACGUGGAAUUUGCAAGGUCCAUGGUGAAGAUGAGCAACAUUGGUGUGAAGACGGGCACUAACGGCGAAAUUCGAAGAAUUUGCUCUGCCAUUAACUAAUUUAACUGCAGUUUUAUGCAGUUAAUCGUGGGGGUGAUGGUUAUUUUCUCAAUUAGCGUAAGCUGAUGAAAAAAUCUAAAAAAUAUUUUAAGCAAUUUAAAAAAAAAAUAGUACACAUGAUUUUUUCCCUAUGUAUUUAUGCAAUGUUAGUAUUCUUGUUAAUUGUAUCAUUAUAUUUUUCAAUGGAUUUAAUAUUUGAAUUUUUUGUAAUAUCUUACUUACACUUUAAGAUUUUAGCUUUUAGUUAUAAUAGUUGCUCCAUUAGUUAUCCAUUUGUGGUUUGACUUAUUUCACAAUAAUUGCUUAAUAAUCAUUUCGCCCUUCAUUAUUGAUAGAGUCGUGAUAACAUAUUUCUACAUACGUUGAUUAUUACGAGGAAAUAACAACAAGGCUUUAUUAACCAUAUAUACUAGUUUCAAAAUCUAUUUUGCAAAUUAGUUGGGUAUAGAAAUUAUUUAGGGAUAUAGUUGAAGUCAGCACCCUGAGGGGCCGACUUUAGUAUUCUUAUUAGGGUAAGGCAACCAAUCAAUGUUAGGGUUAGACUAUGGCAACCUAUCAAAUGUUAGGGCUCACAUGAAGGCAACCAAUUAAUUCAGGGUUCACAUAAGAUUGAAGUAAUAUAGUUUUGCUGUACAUGCAUGCAUACUUGGGAUGAUGGGAGCCUAGCAUGAUGGAACUAGAGGCUUCUGAUUGAGCAGAUGGGAGAUUGAGAUGAUAAAAUAAGUCUCUAGAUGAGUUGAUGGAAGCCUGAUGAUAGAAAAAGGCACUGAACGCUUUUGGUUGAGUAGAUGAAAGAUUGAGACAAUAUAACAAGUUUCUGGAUGAGUUGAUGGAAACUUGAUGAUGGAACAAGGCUUGCGGUUUAGUAAAGAGUUAAUUGAAAUAAUAAUGAUUAAUUGAAAUAAUAAUGACAAAGUUGUCGGGGUUGAAGAUUAUAUAUAAACAUCGUCACAGCAGUUCAAGGGGAGAACUAAGUUUUUUCAACUUCUUUCCUUGAGCAUUGUUAUCUUCUUCUUGGUAUUAUCUUUUAAAUAAUUUGCAAUCUUUAUCUACCUUCUAUAAUCUACAAAAUGAGUAACAUGUUUUGUGAUGUGGUGAACAAUAAUGGUUGGAUUUGAGAUAUGAAUAUCGAUGUAAUCUUCAAGCAUGAAAGUCUGAUUAACAUGAUGUUUAGAAAGGAUAUCAAGUUAGUGGAUAUGAGAUGCAAAAUUGGUCAAAAAAUUGGAGCUCCAAUAGGCUUGUUGAGGUAUAAAUUUAUUACUUGUGACAAUUUAGUGAGAUAUUUUGCAAUUAAUCAUGUAGCAUAUGAUGAUGAUCUAGAAACAAUUAUUGCACUUCAUGAGUCUAAUGGUAUUGAAAGAGUGGAGUUGUAAGUUGAGCUUGACAGCAUUGAAAAAGAAUAUGGGGGUUGAUAUUUGAAGCUCGCCUAAGAGCCCUUUAAUGGAUUCACAAAUUGGAACACCGGACUCGAUAUGCAAGUUGAUUAAUAGUUCCAUAUCGUUGUUGGAAACUCCUUAUAUCUCUGAUGAAUACACUUAGAUGGGAAUGCAAUCAUGAUAUUUUGCGUCAUAGUGUCCACAUAAAACUAAGCUUUAUAAUUUAGUCCUUUUUAAAACUAAGCUUAAUUUCUAUCAAUUUAACAUCUAAAACUUUCAAUUUUCAACAAUGGCAUCUCAUUGAAACUUUAAUAAUUGCUCAAAUUAAUCCUUGGGUUAGCUUAAUCAGGUUUUCAAUAUAAAAAAAUCUAUAAAAAUAACUAGGGACUAACUUGAAUAAAGGACCAAAAGAGUCUAAAAACCCAAAAAUGGCGUAAAGUCGUUUCUUUUGUUCUUGUGGCCGGUUGGAAGAGAUGAAGUUAUCUCUCUUUCCACCAAUUUUUUUUAUUUUAUACAUAGGUUAAGUUGUAAUUAAAAAAUAAGUUGUGUUAAUUAAAAAAUAAAUCGUGUUUUAUGUUAAUUAAAUCAAAUUUACUUAGUUAAUCAAUUAUUAACACUACCGUCCAUGAGUUUAUAUUUAAACAUGGUUUAAUUGUUGUUUUGAAUUUUUGGUUAAUUGCAAUUUAAGUCCCCAAGCAAUUUUCUAAUUAAAAAUCUAUAGUGAUUGGACUUUACAAUUUAGUCUCUAAACCUUAAUUAAUCACAAUUUUAACUAAAUUGACUACCCAAAUUUCAAUUCACCUAUAUAAUAAUUUCGAAAAUAUCUUUAUUUAAUAUUUACAAACUCAGUUUACAGAAAUAGAGUUCCAAAAUCAUUGUUUCUGACAUCACUAAAAAUCAGGUCGUUACAAAAUGUCAACUACUUGCUUUUUUGUAUUACAAUAUUGCAACUUGAUCACCCAUUUGCUACAAGUUCACGAAUAAAGUGAACUUGAAUCUCAAUAUGCUAUAUUCUUCCAUGAUAUGCUAGAUUUUUGGACAUAACAAUUUACGCUUUGUUGUCGCAAUAAAUAUCAAUUGCUCCAUUUUAUUAUUGACCAAGAUCAACUAAAUUCUUCUCAACCAUAUUCCUUGACAUGCUAAUGUUGUUGCUUCUGCAUACUAAGCUUAUAAUGAAGACAAGGCUAUUGUAGCUUGUUUAAACUCCAGAAAAUAGUCAAUCUAAGAUUGAAUAUGUAACUUAAAGUGUUUCUUCUAUCUUCCAAACACCUAGUCAAAUAAUUGUUCUGAACCCAUCUAGCUUGAAAUUUGGAACUUUUUCAUACCAUAACCCAAAAUCAAUUGUUUCAGCCCUAUAGAGCAAAACUCGUUUUGCUGCCCCCAAGAUGAUGCUUUGAAGGCUCGUGUAUAAAUCUUGAAAUUACCCUAACUAGAAAGGUUAUGUCAGGCCUUGUUUGAGUCGAAUAGAUCAAGCUAUCAACCAUGGUUCUAAAGUGACUUAUAUUAGCUUUUUUAGUCCCAUCAUCUAUCUACAACUUCUUGUUCAAGUUCAUUGGGGUCGUUGCAAUUUUGCAAUUUAAUAUGUUGAAUAUUUUAAGUAAAUCAGUUGUAUAUUUCCCUUGUUACACAAAAAUUUCAUCUUUAACUUGCUUCACUUUUAACCCAAGAAAAAAAUGCAACAGACCCAAGUCUGACAUCUCAAACUUUCUUUCCUUACACAAUUUAAACUCAUUAAUGAGAGAAAUCCAUGUAAAGAGUAUGUUCAUUCUUACUUUUCUCGAAGCCAUUAAAAAGAAAGUAUAAGUUUAUUUUGUUGUACUCCGCCCAUGAAGCUUUCUUUAAGCUAUAAAAAGAAGGUAUGGGUAGGUUUGUUCUUACUUGUUCUUUUUUCCCACAAACAACAAAACCUUCCAACUGAGAAACAUACACUUCCUCUUCGAGUUCUUGAUUUAAAAAUGCUGACUUCACAUAAAAUUAGUAAAUGGGCCAAUUUAAUUGAGCGAGUAAUGCAAUUAGAAAUUUUAUUGUUUCAAACCGAGCAACGGGAGAAAAUGUGUCAUCAUAACCUAAACCUUGUUGUUGUGAAUAACGUUUCACCACUGAUCUAUCGUAAUUUAAUAUGUCAAAUUAGCCUCCCUAGUACAGUUAACGAGCUUGCUUUUGAGAAAUUUAUAUAUAUUCUUUAUGUUUUUACUUAAUUUUUGUUCUUAGCUUUAAUAAGUGAAUUAGUAUGUUUUCGAUUACUUUUGAGACCCGAAAUGGCUAAAUACGUCAUCGAGGACCUAAUAAUUGAUUGAGUGUUGUAGGCAGUCAUUAGAGGCUCGAACAUGAGCAAAAACAUCACCUAGAAGAGGGUAUUGCGCUAUCGAAACUUGGAAGUCGUGAUACCCCUAACACCGCUAAAUUGAAGAGGAUCAAGGCCAUUCCUAGUGGUAUCGAGAUACCAGCUAUAGGAAUCAUGAUAUCAAACUCUCAAGGAAUCCUUUAAGUCAAGACUGAUGUGGUUAUCGUGAUACAUGACCAUGGGUAUCGCGAUACCCCUGACGAGAAUAGACAAAAAUGACAAGAAAAAUGACAGCAGGGGUAAACUUGUCCAACUUCAACACCAAUAAAAAACACACAUUGAGGGGUACUUUGGGCAUAAGAAGUAGGGUCAAAAAAUAGCUAAAAGAAGCCAAAAUUGGCUGAGAGACAUACAUUAGAUAUAAGCCGUAGUUUAGUUUAGUUUUCUUAUGUUUUCUCUUUCUCUUUUAGGGUUUUAGUUUUAUCUUCUCUUAUCCAUAGCUUAGGUUUUAUUUUUCUUGCACAUUUUCUUUUCUUUUCUUAGUUUCAUAGUUGGUAGUUAAGUUAGUUUUAAUUGUAGCUAGAGUUUAUUUGUUUAGUUAAACCUUCAACCUCUUUUGUUUACAUUUUAAUCGCAUGUUAAUUUUAUUCAGUAUUCUUUAGUUUCCUUGGUUAAAAAUCAUUUCUUUGGUGUUUUUGUUUAUUGUUCUUGCCUCCAUUGUUAUGCUAGUCAAGUUUUUGCAAGAAAGCUUGGGUUUUUAUUUAUUUACUUAGGGUUUAAGUUAAUGAUACUUUCAUUUAAUUUCUUGUUGUCAUUGGGUUUGAAUAUGAACAUGAGUAGCUAAAUCAUAGGUGGUUGGUUGAUGGAAAUACGGGGAAUGUGAUUUUCGGGUGAAAGGACUAAAUCAAAUAGACUUUAAAAAUUAUAAUUGAUGCCCUAAGGGAAAUUAAGAUAAGUGAGACCGAGAGGAGAUCUUACUGGGUGUAACACCCCAUACUCGUAUCCUACGCCGGGAUGGAGUACGAGGCAUUACCUAACUUAAACUCGUGCUUACGACCAAAUUCUGAGUCUCCAAGACUUGGACAAAUUUAAAACUUUCUCAAGCUUAUCAACACGUCCUUAAUAUAGGCCUACGAGGCCCAAAACACACAUCAAAAAUCAUUUGGAACCAAAUCGGGUUCUUUAGUCAACUUUAGAUAAAUGAUACUUGACACAAGGGCACAUGCCCGUGUGGGAGGGGCAACACGCCCGUGUGACCAAUUUGACAUGGUCGUGCCGUUAGCCCGUGUGGCUUAUACGGCCUAGGCAAUACAGGGACACACCCGUGUCCGACACCCGUGCGAAAUUAAUUCCUAAUUUAUACCUACAAGGGGUUUUCAUACGGUCUGGCACACGCCCGUGUCCCUGGUUCGUGUCCUUCACACGGCCAUGACACGCCCUUGUCCUAACCCAUGUGCAAAAAUCUAGACAUUAUGUUUCUGACGUCAGCAUUUCUUAAGGGUCACACGGCCAAGGCACACGCCCGUGUGUUAGGCCGUGUCCUUCACAUAGCUGAAACACACGGCCGUGUCUCUACCCGUGCGUUUACUACAAUGCAUAUCGACUUGAAAAUUUUACGUGCAGGGGACACACGGCCGAACCACACGCUCAAAGGGCAGACCGUGUGUCACACACGGCCUAGACACAUGCCCGUGUGUCUACCCAUGUGGACAAUAUAAGACUAUUUACCAAGCCUAUUUACCACCCUUACUUACACAACCUACAUAAUAGCAACCAUACCAGUAUAAGAAUAAUUUAUUUAAACCAAUCAGCCACAAUAGACUACAUAUCAAUUAAGCAAUUACUCAUUCAUGAGAGUAACUUCAUUUGCAUAUAUCAAAAUGAAUAUUUGCCAUCAUUCCAGACUUAAUACAAAAUGAAGGGUUUCCAACCCAAGCCAACACAUUUGGCCCGUUCUUAAUGACACAAAAAUAGUAAAGUCUAAGCCCUAUACAUGCCAUAUUCAAAAAUAUAAAUCAAACUAUACCGAAUGCUUCGAUUAAUAGUGUGAUCGAUAUCUCUGACUUCCUUUGGUCCUUGAGCUAAAUAGACGGCACUAUAAGAAAAUGAAAAAGGAGAGGAAGUAAGCACAAAGCUUAGUAAGUUGCAUAUAAAUAAAUAUACAACAUAACUUUCUCAUUCAUCAACAAGUAUCACAAUACACAAGUGGCAUAAGCAAAACUUAGUCAUCAAUAUUCAAAACACUUCAUAUAGCAUAUAUUGAGCUCACAUUUCAUACAUACCAUAUAGGUACCUGUACCACUCACAACUAGGUUAUACUUUCCUUAUUAACUUGAAAUCAUACUUUCACCGUUGAACCAUUUGGAACAUUAUCGGAUACUCAUUUAGCAUCAAACAUGGGGCCAAGUGCUGAUGCCAUGUCCCAGAUACGGUCUUAUACAAGUUCUAGCAUAUCUGUGCCGAUGCCAUAUCCCAGACAUAGUCUUACACUGGUACAUCUCGUAGUCGAUGCAUGUCCCAAACAUGUCUUACACUAGCACUCGUCUCAAUGCCGAUGCCAUGUCCCAAACAUGGUAUUACACUGGCUCUCAUAAUGUGGCUGAUGCAUGUACCCAAACGUCAUGGCAUGAAUAUCCGAUUUAUUUCCUAAGGUUCAACCGGGAAUUCUACUAUCUCUAUUCUCAUCACAUUUUCUUAUUUCCACAAUCAAGCAAUUUAUGCUAUAAUAGUUUCAAUACAAUUCAAAUACAUAUAUUAUUAAUGUAGUUUUACUAUUUACACACAACUUACCUCAGAUUACAAAAUGUGGCGACUAGUCGAUUUGCUUGGCUUUCCCCCGGUCUAGGUUUGGAUUCAGUAUUUCUUAAUCUAUAAUAAAAAAUACACUUAUUUAAUCACUUUAUCAACAUAGGCACUCUACAAUUCAUAUUUGGGCAAAAUAUCCAAUUUUCCCCUAGACUUUUGCAAAAUGACCAUUUUACCCCUAAGCCCGGAAAUUAAUUUUUAUCAAAUUUCUUCACAUAUUAGGCCUAGACGACCCCUUUUUACUCUUAUAGCAUAUCCAAAUUCUCACUAUUUCACACACUUAUCAUCUAUUUUACAACUUAUGCAAAAUAGUCAUUUUAGGUGUUUUCAUGCUAACAUCUUUCACAAAAGUUGUUUAUUAGACACCCAAGACUUAUUUUCUUCCUUGAAAACUCAGCAAAAAUUAUAAAUCUUUUCAUGGAAAAACCCUAAACACUUAAUAAUUU